UGUAAACGGACCAAUUUGCCCGGGUCCACAUCAAGACCAAAUAAAGAAUAAAUAAAAAUAAGAAUAAAAAAACAACAAUUAAUUAAAUGUCCAUUUACAGUUCAAAGCCCAAAAUUAUUACAGUGACCCAAUACCCAAAUUACUACCCAAAUCCAAACGGCCCAAAGGCAAUGGCCCAAUACCCAAAAUGAGCCCAAACGACCCAAAACUUUGGUCAUCAGAAACCCUAGGGCUCUCUCCCUCGUGCCGCAGCCAAGCCUCAGCCCUCGCACCGUACGACGCGCCAGCUACCUCCGUACGCCUCAGCAGCACCACGCCCACGCCUCCGUACGCCAGCACAGCCCCGUACACGCGCUACGCACCCUGUACCUGCAAAAAAGGACGAACGCGCAGCAAAACAAACAAAAAAAAAACAACAAAGAAUAUUGUAUUCUGAUUUAUUUUUCUAUCAUUUUACCCCUUCGGCUGUAAAGCCAAGGGAUUUCAUCAGUUGUAAGGUUACGCACACCAAGAGAAAGCAAUACAGACGCAAUACACAUAGAUUGAAAAAAAAAAGUAAUUUCUUAAGAAGGUGAUCUCCAUUUUCGGCUCUAUUUUUUAUUUCCUCCGAUUUUUCAUCAUUUACAUUCAAAAAAAAAAGAAAGAAAAAUGGCACUUACUUUGAGUUUAGGCCGUCGAUUCCCUUUCACUUCGUCGAAAUCGAAGUUCAGAGGGAAGUCGGUGACUGAAAGGAGCCAUGCUUCGAAGCCUGUGAGCGCCGGUCACCGUACCUUGCGGUGGGCUGGUGUCUUUGAAGAGAAAAUAUAGGUUGCGGCUAAAAAAAGGAAAUGAGGCUAGGGUUUGGCCGAAUAGGCUAAAAUAAGCGUUUAUAUAGGGCUUCAAACGACACCGUUUUAAGCCUUGCCCAAGGGCUCUCCAAACGGUGUCGUAUUGUUACACCUGACCCGAUCCGUUUUUCCACCCUAAGACCAACGCGUUCUUGCGAAGAGGGGAUAAUUUCGCAAUCGGUCCCUCCUUUUUGUAUGGGCAUUCAAUGGUGCCUUAUUUAUUUCAUCUCCUUUUUUUAAUUUGGCUUUACAAUUUGCGUGUGCUUGCAAGUUAGUCCGCGUUUUAACGUUGCGCUUUAGGGCUGGUCUAUUUCCAGUUUAGGUCCUUCUGAACCCUUUUUAUUAUUAUUGUGUUUUCAAAUUAUCCCUUUGUUUUAGUUUGAUUCUAACUAAAUCCUUUUAGUUUAUAGCUUUUUUUCUCGAUUACUUAUUUGCACAUUUUAAACUACCCUGGUAAUUGCUUCUUUAUUAUUGUAAAUUUGUUUUUUAUAAUACCAUCGUCACAUUUUGUGUAUUUUAUACAAAUGUUUUUCACAUUAUCAUAUAUAUGUAUAUAUAUAUACUUUAUAAUAAGUAAACUUUAUUCUAUACACAUGAUUAGAUCCACGAUUUUAUACCUAUAGUCUUCUUUGUACAAUGAAUUUAGGUUUAUUCUAUUUCAACAUUUAUAUGAUAUUUCUUUAAAUAUUUUAGAUAUAUUUGUACAUAUACAUUUUUAAUUAAAGUUUGUAAUCUAUAAUGUUGAUUAUUUUAAAGUACUUAAUAUUUUAUACAUAUGUUGAGCUAUCUUAAUAACUUUUUUAUAUAUAUAUUUUUUAAUCACCAUUUUGUAGUUCAUUUUUUAUACUAUAUUAUUUAAAAUAUUUAUAUAACACUUGUUCAAAUGUUUCAUGUAUACUUAUUUAUGUAUAAUAAAUAAUUUAAUCCUAUAUACAUAUUUAGUCACAUGCUAAAUUAUUUCAUUCUCUUAAAUUUUUCUAUAUAUGUAUAUAUAUAUUUUUACGUAUAUAAGUUAUUUUUUUAAGAACACAUUUUACUAUAUAUUGUAUUGAUUUAAAAUUUCACAUUUAAAUACUAUUUUUAUAUGCAUGUAUGAUUAUCAACUUUAAAUGGAUGUAUCAUCUUUAUAAUGUUUAUGCAUGUUAUUUGAUUCAAAUGUCUUAAUUGCAUAAUAUCUAUUUCAAAAAAAUAUUUAUAUGUUCUUAGUUUUUAUAAAUCAUCUUAAAUUCUAACAUGUGGUUUGCUCAUCAAAGUUGUUUUGUAUUAUGUUAAUUUAAUGUUGUUUGAUAUCUCAUGGAUUAGUUGUUUUAUUAUUGCAUGCAUAUUUGUUGUAUCGUCAUAUCAAUUAUUCUCCAUCCAUGUUUAGAAUUUCGACUACAUUUUCCUUAGAUUAGCCAUACUUGAUUAUUAGUUUAUUAAUUGGCAUUGUAUUUUAUGAGUGUAUAUCACCCUACGUUUUUAUUUCUCUUUCGAGUUUACCAAUGUUGCAUUGUAAUUUUUAACCCUUUUUUUUUAAAGAAAAAUUUUUAAAUACUCCAUCUUAUUUCAAGUAAAAUUAAUACGUUUUAAGCUAGUUUUAUAACUAUUCAUUUAAAAAUUCUUUAAAACGAAGGCAAUACUUGAUGUUUGGCAAUUCAGAAAUCGUGCCCUAUCGUGCUGGGUUGCGAUUUCCUGUUUGUUCAAAACAAACGAAUAUUCCUUUGGAAUUUCAUUCAUGUCUUUAAAAAUUCUUCAAAACGAAGGUAAUGUUCGAUGUUUGGCAAUUCGGGAAUCGUGCUCGAUCGUGCUGGGUUGCGAUUUCCUGUUUGUUCAAAAUAAUCGAAUAUUCUCUUAGAAUUUCACUCAUGUUCUUUGAAUUCUAAAAUAAGGCAAUGUCCAAUGUCUAGAAAUUCGAAGAAUCGUGCCCUACUAUGCUGGGUUUCGAUUUUUUUCGUUGGACUAAACAAUUGGGCAUCCUUUUGCGGUUUUCAACACAUAAACUUUUAGAAGUCGAAAUUUAUCGUGUUUUCGAGGGUAUAAAGGAUUGUAUCCUAUCGUGCUGGAUGUGAUGCUGUAUCCUUUUGAAACAAGAGAAUUUUGACGACCAACUUGGGCUAUUCAAGUGUUUAUAAAAGGAACCACAGUUCAAAGAAACAUUUUCAAAUCUUAGACAUAAGGACAGUAUUUAAUCGGUUUGGUACCAAUUUUGGGCGUAGUGAGGGUGCUAAUCCUUCCUCAUGCGUAACCGACUCCCGAACCCGUUUUCUCAUAUUUUCGUAAGACCAAAGUCGUUGUUUUAGUAAAAAGAAAUAUUUUAUUAAAAUAACCAAAUUUCUAGGUGAUCCGAUCACACCUAAACAAAAAGAUUGGUGGCGACUCCAUAUUUUUGUUUUCAAAAAGUUGAUUCCCCAUUUUUCAUUAAAUUUAAAUCUGAAAGAUGGUUUCGACACAUGCUUUUAUUGGUCCAUUUUUUAUUUAUUUUUGUCAUUACUAUUUUAUUUUUAUUUCUUUUGGUGUGUUCUUGUUAUUUUAUUAUUUCUCUUCUUAUUUUUGGCACUUUCAUGUCAUGCCCAUUUAUCUUUUUAAUCAUGCAUUUUUCAUUUUUUUUUAAAAUUUAUCUUAAGAUACUUCAUUUAUUUAUUAUUACUAUAAUAUGAUUAUAAUAAUAAAAUUAAUAUUAAUAAUCAUAUUAUUACUAUUAUUAUAUUAUUAUUAUAGUAUUCCUUUAUUUACUUAUUAUUUAUCGUUCUACCCACAUAGCCAUUUUAUAUUAUUUCAUUAUCACUAUAUCAUACAUUAUGUUCAAACACAUUUGUCUGUUUCAUACUACGCCCAAAUAAACUAAAUAUACAUCAUUUUAAGUGUUACAUUGAUUUUUAUUUGAUGCAUAAAAAGGGAAAUUUCAAAGCCAAGGCAAUGUUUUUAUUAGAGAUUCGAGAAAUCAUGUCCUAACUUACGAGGUUUGAUUUUCUCUUUGAACCUAAAUAAUCGAACAUCCUUUUAAAACUAAAACACAUGAGAUCUAAACAAUAAUUAAAUAAUGAGCAAUUUUAUUUUUGAGAAUUUGGGAUGCCGUGUCUUAACUUACUGGACAUGACCUUUUCGUUUUGGUUAUCUCGAAAUAAGAAGGCUGCUUAUAUAAGUUUUGAUUUAACUAAAUGAUUUCAAUUAAAAAAUCGUGCAAAGAGGGAUCAUAUUUAAAUUUUCGAAUUUUCAACUUUUGACAUUAAGACACGAAUUAAUAAACUAGGUACCAAUUUUGGGCGUCACAAGGGUGCUAAUCCUUCCUCGUGCGUAACCGACUCCCGAACCCAUUUCCUAGAUUUUGAAUCGAAAAUCAUCGUUUUAGUAAAUCUAGACUCUUAUUAAAAUAAUCAAAUUAUGAGGUGACCCGAUCACACCUAAUAGAAACGAUUGGUGGCGACUCCAUUUUUAGUUCUUUUAAAAAUAAAAAGUCGAUUUCAAAAAGGUUUCGACACAUAUGAACAACAAUUCAAUUUUUAUAUAUAUAACUGCACCAAAUCAAUAUUCAUAUAUCAAAUUUCUGGUAUAAAUUUGAUAUUUAUCCAAAAAUAAUGUCAUUUUUUGCAGAAAAUCUUUUGACUUUCCAGCUAAUCGGGUGGAAGCAAAUAUUCCGAAUCUUCCUUCAAUAUUUACUAGCAAAUAAUAAGAUUAAAACGAAUUAACAAAAGCUAACUAUGUCUUGGACUGAUGACAAAUGCAUUAUGUUGUAAGUACAAAUGUUUGAGUUUAUUCCCGAACAAUAUCAUUCUCCUUCCCUAAUUAUUAAAAACAACUAAUUCUGAAAUAGUUUACGAUAAAAAAUUUGGUCCACUUUAGUAUUAACGUUUAGAAUAUGUUAUGGUUAAAUUUUGAGUUUACUAAAUUUAUCUUAAAAAUCACUUAUUACACGUCUAAUGUUACAUUAUUAAUUUUAGAGUAUUAUGAAUAAAAUAAUAUAUCAAGAAAUAUCAAAUUAACUAUUAUUAUUUAACUUUAAUAAACAAACAAAAUAAAAUCAAUUACUCAAAAUGUUCAUUUAUUCUCACAAUUUGUAAGUCUCAGAAAAAUUUAUUGAGCAAUACCCAUGAAGGAUGUGUGCUCAAAGAUCUAGCUAAGUGCCUUAAAAGGCUUGUGGGGGGUUUUGCUAUUAACUUAGUGAAGGGAGUGUGCUCAAAGAACUUGUUAAGUGCCUUACGAGGCUAGCAAUAAUUCUCCUAUUAACUUAACGAGCAACACCCAUGAAAGGUGUGUACUCAAAGAACUAGCCAAGUAGUACUUGAAGAGGCUGAAAGCAGGGUGAUUCAAAAUUAUUUAAAUAUUAAAUUCGAAAUUGGACACAUGAGCUUGAUAAAAACUAAGAGUGUGACUGAGAAACUUAAAAAUAUCACUUAAAUUUAUAGUUUCUAACUUUAAGUAGCAAUUAAAUACCAAAAUAUUAACCCUACAACCAUUUCAGAGAGACGUACCAUGUUGUAGUUGACCAGCUCCAGUAGCUGUAGGGUUAAUUUGAACCUUCCAGGCUUCCACUUUCACGUAAUUUCCAAUGAUGUUCCUUUGACGAUAAGGUUGUGAAAAUUCUACCAGACAGGGUGAGGCCACCCUAGCAUUAAAUAAUGUGACCUAACCCCUUUAACACGUCUUUUUUCCACAUUACUUAUUGACUUAUCGUUCAUACUCUUUGCAUUGACUUAGCUAAGUCCACACAUUCAUGCUUGCAAUUCUCACAUUCAAUUAUCCAAGGGUCCCAGAAAAAUAUUCACUUGAUAUACUAUAUGAUGAUGAAAAGAUUAAGAAAAUGUGAGCACAUAGAAUCAAUCAAGAAUUUAACUCGAUUAUAGAUAUGGUAAACAUAAUCAUUAAACCCCUUGGCUUAAAAGCUAACUAGAAAUAUGCUUUCCAUGCACGUUUGGGAUUAAAAAUAAUUGUUUUCAUAUCCUAUCUUUUCAAACUUUGAACCACCAAAAUGGACUAAAUUUCUUCAAGGCAUAGAAAAGCAACUAAAGGUAAAAAGAAAAUCACCCCAAAAGAAAAGUCUCUUUCCAUUACAUUACUUUUCAAAACAUCAAGUCCUUUGUUCAUAUGAACAUCAAAUCAAUCUUACCACAAUUAUUCAUUAUUUAAUAAUAUGACAAUUCCAAUUAUUAGUAAUUUAUAUAUGAAAAAAAAAAGAAGUUAUUUAAAAAAAGAAUAAAGGGUUUAUAGAGCAUCUUUGUAUUAUACAUUUUUUUGGUGAUUUAAUUUUACUAUGAUUAUUUCUAAUCUUAGAAAUGAUAAAUUAUCAAAUAUAAUUUUAUCAUUAUUUCAAUUUAUAAUUUCACAGAGACUAUGUUUUUGGGAUCAAGACCCUUGCAUCUACCCUCAAAAAUUAAGUUUUGGGUAUUACUAGAAAUGUUCUUCCAAAUCUCAAUCAAUGACGAAGCAAAUCACCCUUAAAUCAUCAUGACCAAAGGGUUCUCAUGUAAUAAUACCAAAUAAGUGUUCAUCCCCCUCAUUUAACACUUUAUGCAUAUUCUGCCUUGGGAGUAAAGCACAAAAUCCAUGCAAAUAAUAAUAAUAUUAUGAUUAUUAAAACAAAAAAUAAUUGAAAAUAGUAUUAUUACGCUACAUUUGGUAGGAGUGAUGUUUUUUCACUAUAGUUUAGUAUAUGAUCAUUUCAAUUAGUUAUUUUUAGUCAUUCAAGUUAGUUGUUUUCGAAAAAAUAAAUUUUUUUAAUAAUUUUAAAAAAGUUUUAUAUUUUUAAUUUUUUUUUUACUUACUUCAUGUCGGUUUUAAAAUCCAUUUUUAUUUUAUGUCUAACUAUUAUAAUACAAAUUUAUUAAACGAGCUGUUAAUUUCUUUACCAUCCCAUAAUCUCAACACAAAAUAUAAAAAAGAAAUAACCUUUCAACACUUUGUUUUCAUUUCUUCUUCUCUCAUUUUCUUAAUUUCUUAUAUAUAUUAAGUACUUUUCAUGCAUGAAAAAUGAAUCCCUUUUUCUUUUCUUUAAUGCUUUUACACACACACAUCAAUACAUACAUGUAUGUGUAGUCUACUUCUAAUCACAUGGGAUUGAGCUCAAGCAAUCAUCAUAUCCUUAAAAAGUAAUCAAAAAAACCCUUUUGAUCACAUGGAUUUGGAAUCUUAUACUCCAUAUUAAAAGUCCUUGUUUUUUUCCUCUUCAAAUUACAAGGAAAUUAAUUAAGAACCCUUCCAUUCAUCCACGAAAUGAAAUCAUUAUUUCCUUUUUCUUUUUUCAAUCUCAAAGAAUCUUAAUCAGAAAGAUGGAAGUAGACAAGCGUUGUUCAUACACGAAUCUCAGUUUUUUUUAACAGUCAACUAAAUUGUACUUUGUUUAAUUUGAGGUUGGGGUUUCUUGGUCGGUUUGUCUGAAUAUUCCUUCAUUUUGUAAACCUUUAAACUCUUUUUUUCCCCUCCUUACUAUUGAAUUAACAGGCAGAAAAUUUGGGGCUUGUAUGUGUUUUUUAUUACUGCCCUGUUUUCCCCUUGAUUUCACAAAUUAAAAGGGAGACAAAGGGAAAUGGGGGGAAGCAUGCCUUUGCUGCUAUGUGCAUGAAUGCCACAUUGAAGCAUAUCAUCAUGAUGGAUUCAUCAGCUACAUGCACAUGACGAAUAAGGCUAAGUCUACAUAAGACAGAAUGACGAGUUUCAUUGAAAAGGGAGUGGAAAGGAAUUUAAUGUAUAGGCAAACGAAUAGUAUUCUUUAUAGUCCAAUGACAAAAAAGCUAGAUUUUGAACUAAUAAUUGACCCUUUUUUCUUUCUUAAAAUACAGAAAAUUACAUGAUUUUAAUUUUUAAAAGUGACUCAUGGAAUGAAACUCAAUUUAAUUACGUCUAAAUGAUUAAGUUACAGAUCAUGAGGAAAAAGAAGAAGAAAAGAAUAUAAAUCUGGAAUAUGUUUGAUCACCAUCAAACCAAAUACAAGCAUAACAAGAAAAUUUUAAAAAUAAAUCAAUAGGAUUAAAUAUUAGAAAAAAAAUGAACAACUUGCUUAUCGAUUAUAUAAGAAUAUAACACAAUUGUAUCAAAGCUGGCAGCAUCCGACAUGAAACAUUGGCUUCUAGCACACUGCCAUGGUGGCUGGGUGGGUGUCCUUUUCGGCCUGAGUACAAAGUGUAACUUCAGCACAGGGUCUGGGAUAAAGCCUCUGCAAAUUCCAGGAAAAUGCUGCAUUUUGCACAUCAUGUCUUUAAUAACAAGACAAAAACACACACCCUUCUUUUUCCUAUUUGGCAUUUUGGAUUUACUUUUACAUUGUUGAUGAUAAUUAUUUCAUGUCUUGGAUAGCCAUGAAAUGGGUUUAAGCAAUGGACACCUAAUAAGGACACAGCAAAAGUUAAGGCGUGUAAGGCAGGUUCAGUUGGCUAAUUUUGUAGAAUAAUUUGGUAGGUCCAAAACCCCCUAUGAUUCAAACUGUUUUUUUUUCCUUCAUGUUAUUAUAGCAUAGGAUCUGUAAUUUCAUUUGUAGUGUCAUCAAAUUGCAGAUGUUUUUUUAAAAAAUAAAUUGUUGAUUGUAAAAUAUAUUUUAUUUUAAUAAAAAAAAAUCAAAUCCCGAUUACAUGAUUGAAUGAUUAUGUGGACAAUAACCUCAACAUAUGAUUAGUUUCAUCAAGCUUUUCCCAGUAGAAAAUCAUACUAACAAAAAAGUGCAUAUUUCACACUUUGGUUGUUGAACACAUUGAGGGGGUGUUAGUGAAGGGUAGCUGUGUAGUGAACUAGUUUUUUUUUUUUUUAAUAGAAAAAAAAAACAAAAACAAAGAAUCUUCCAGGUCAUGCAUGCAUUAAAAUAUUUGUAAUGAUAUUUAUCGUAAAGGUUGUUUUUCUCGCUCUCCUUUCCUCCUUGUCCUUUGGGGUUACAUAACAAAUAGUGAAAAUGACAUGUGUGGCAAUUUCCACAUCUUUGUGCUAUCAGCCAAGACCAAGACCCACAACACCCAUGGGUCAUUUUUUUGCACAUUUAUUGAGUGGGCACCAGACUACGUUAUUUCCUUUUGUUGUCUCACCCAAAGUAGAUUUCCCACAUCAUCACAUUAAGUUAUAGUACUAGUUAUACUAAUGAACAUAUGUAUGUAUAUAUAUAUGAACACAUUGGUCACAUAGUUUAAGAACACUAAUUAUAUUAAAAAUGACAACAGUAAAACUUUUUUAACAACAAAUAACAAGAUCAAAACCCUGGAAUCCAACAUAUAUAAGAAAAUUUUCUUCUCCAAGUAAACUUUCUUGUCUAUUUCCUAUUUACACUAUUUUUUUUUUCCAUUUUCCUUGACCUAAACCUAUACCGUAAACCCCAUUCCUCCUUACAUGAUAGCACAAGCAUUGGUGUUCUCAUCGUUAAACAUCUGGUGAGGUGGAUUAACAUACACCGGGUAACCUGGCACAUACCCGGGGUAACCAUGCCCGUGUGGGUGCGGAUACGGGUUUCCAUACGCGUAAGCUGGGUGCCCGUAUCCGGGAUAACCCGGAAUGUAACUAGGCAUGUGCCCAAAUUGGGGUGGAAGCAUGAACUCCAUUCGGUUCCCUUCCAUCUUGCCACCAUUAGCUUCGUUCCCACCAUCUUCACCACCACCUUUGUUGUUCUUCUUCCCUCCGUCGCCGCCCUCCUUGUUGCCAUCCUUCUCUUUCUUAGGAGCUACAAUCUCAACAUGCUUCUUCAGCUUGUCCUUCAAAGCCUCAGCCAAGGCCUUAACAUCCAUAGUCCCCUUAACUGUGACCAUCUCCUUCUGCCUGUCUACUUUCAACUCUUGGACACCUGCAACGCCGUUAAAAACAAUAUGUAUCAAAAGUCAGAAUCGAACGCAAGAAUUUCAACGCCGUAAGAGCAACGGAAAAUCAUAAAGGUCAUCACCUUUGGUUUCAGAGACAAUUUUGCUAAUCCUAUCAAAGCAUCCAUCACACUGGCAUUUCAAUUGCACCUUCAAAUCCGCCGUCGUUACCGGGGCCUGAACAAAGAUAAUAAAUAGCAAGCUUAAAUUACAUAAUUUUUUUAAAAACUUAAACCUCAAGAAAGUAAGUAACAAAUUUUGAAAUGAUAUAGAAAAUAUGGGAUUUUGUACCUCUUUGGGUUUUUUGUCUGAUUUAUUAUCAGAAUCCUGGUUUUUCUGUUGGUCAGGUUUUUUCUCUUUUUUUUCCUCUUUGUUAUCAUCUUUCUUGGGUUGAGAAGAAAUGAGCUCAACUUUCUUCUUCGUUUUCUUGUCGAGUUUCUCUUUAAUGGCAGUGGGAUCCGCAGUUCCUAUCACCGUCACUUUGUUUGAGCUCAUCUCUGGUUUCACCGUCUCCACCCCUAGGACAGAAAAAAAAUAAGAAGAGGAAAACAGAGUAAAUAACAAGAGCAGAAUGAAGAAAUGAAUAGGGAAAAGCCAGAAACAAGAAUGGGAAAUAAGCGUGGAAAGCGAUUAUACCUUGAAAUUGAUUAAUGCAUUUGAGGAUUUUGGAAGCACAACCAUCACAGAGACACUCAAAUUUGAAAACAGAGGUUGAAGAACUCAUUUCCUUCUUUUUCCCAUCCGCUCCUCCUUGCUUGUUUCCGUUCUUUUUCUGCAACAAACACGAAGAAUAACCAUAACACAAAAUCAUAUUAAUUAUGAACCAGAAAACGAAAUGAAAGAUGAUGAAAAGAGUAAAAAAGAGAAAGAGAAACGGGGUUAGGGGUUAGGGGGUGUAGUGCUAACUCACCUCUCCCAUUGCGAGUGGAAAUGCGUUAUGUGAAUCGGGUUUAAGUGAUGACUUGAAAUAUGAGAGGAAAAAAAGGAGAUGGAGUAUUUAUAGAGGGGAUGGAUGGUUCAAAACGCGUGGAGUGAAGGUGGCUGGCUAAGGGGUUAAGACUUGAGAGUGGGGGGUACUUCCAGGAAAAAGUGGUGGCCUUCAAAAGAAAAAAAAGAAUUGGAGGUUCUUGGCUGUUUCUUUCUCUGUGUCCAUUUAUGCAGCAACAGUUCGGUUCCUAAGGGUAUAUUAAUCCACUCCCUCCCCCAUCACCUGUUCACGCUUGCAUUGCCUCUGGUUCCAUCUGAAUCACAGUGGUCUCCCCAAUGCACUUACCUAAACCCAUUUAGACUAUCAGCGGAUCAAUCUCACGACUUUAAAGAUGUAGUGAACACCAUUCAUCAAUAAACCAAAUGCUAAAGUUCAAAUCUAGAAUAUUUUUCGAUUUGUCCAUGUCAACCUAUGCAAAUCUUCUCUAUAAAUUUUAUCAAUUAUAUAAUCCAAAGCUCAUUAAUUAAUAAUAUUAUUAAUAUAGAUAUAUUAAAGUUCUCUAUAUUUUUUUAAAAAUUUAAAUUUUAAUUCUUAUACUUUCUUUUUUGCUGUUAUAAUUAAUGAUAUGGCUUUUAUAAAAACCAAAAAGGUAAAAUAACUCUUUAAGCUUUCAAUAAUUAUAAUAUUUUAUCAAUUUAAUCCUUACACUUUAAAAUUGCAUAAAAGUUUGAAAAAAUGUUUUAAAAAUUAAAUUAGAAAAAAUGUUUUAAAAAUUAAAGCUUUUUCAUAUUUUCAAUAAAAACUAUGAAAAAAUUGUGAAAAAAUUACAAAUGCAACCAAGGAUCUUCUUUUGAAUAAAUUAAAAGCUUUUUCAUAUUUUCAAUAAAAAAUAUAAAAAAUUUGUGAAAAAUUAAAAUCUUUUUCAUAUCUUCAAUAAAAAAUUACAAAUCGUGACCGGAGUUUGGUCUUUCUUUUGAAUCGAAUGAGUAAAAUAAUAAUAAAGUUAUAAAAAGUAAGAAAAUAGAUGUGAAAAUGAAUGCAAGAAAGGCAAUGGGUAAAGAAGAAGAGGUGAGAUUCAAGUUUUUGAGGACAAGGAUCUUAGCCUGCAAAGGGGUAUUGAUGCGAGAGAGAAUAAUUUUGUUAAUAAAUAUGUGUUAUUUCUAUUAACAAUAAUUGACCAUGAACCCAACUCAUUGCUUUUUUAUGAUUUUAUUUCUAAUUAUUUUUUAUUGUUGAUAGGAGAAUGGUUAUAUUUUGUUUUUUUUAAACUAAAUUUACGUAAAAAUAUUUUAUAUAUAAUUAAUCUGAUUUUAAAUUUUAAAAAAGUUUUUCAAAAUUAUUUUAAUAUGAACCGAACAAAUAUUUCAAAAUUUAGAGACACUUUGUUACUAUUCAUGAACUAGAUAACAUUUUUUUUUAAUUUUCAAAAAAAUUUAUAUUUUUCAUAGUUAUUUAGUUAUCUAAAAUGAAUUUUAUAAUUUUUUUAAUUUUAAAGAGGUCUUAAUUUUCAAAAAAAAAUUAUAUUCAUUAUUGAAAAUAUGUAAAAAGACUUUUAAAUUUUAAAACAUUUUUUUUUUGUAAAUUUUAUGUUCUUUUAAAGUGUAAAGACCAAAAUAAAAAAAUUAUAAAUGUUAAGGGCUAAAAGAGUUAUUUUACUUUUUUUUAUAAUAACCACAUCAUCAAUUCUAGCGGCAAAAUUGAUGGAGGGACCAAUAUUUUAAAUAAAAGAAGUAUAGGGACUCAAUAUCUCAAAAUUAAAGUAUAAUGGCUAAAUUUUAAAUCUCAAAAGAGUACAAGGAUUUUGACAUAUUUAAACCUUUUUAAAUUUGAAAAUUUUUUAAAAAAUCAAAUAUGAUCUAAAUUCUAAAUGUCGUUAUAGGUGUAAAAUAAUCAGAUCUCUAUAAAAUUAUGGCAGACAAAUGAGACUAUUAUAGAGAGAGAUGAUUAUACUAGGUUCUCUUAUAAACCGUAUAUUUCAAUAGUGUUUUUUCUCUUGAGAUUAUUCAAUAUUUUAUGGUUACAUUGAAUUUUGAUUAAAUUUCAAAUCGGAUUCUAAACUAAGAGCACGUUGUUUUUUCCAUCAGAAGACUCGAACUUAAAAUCAUACUUAAAAGACACUGAGCUCUUAACUACUAAGUCUAACUAAAACUAGUGAAAAAGCGCAAGUUGGUUUGCUCACAGUCCAACUUGAUGUCCCAACUGAUAUUUGGACACGAGUUUGAACAAGACAUUUUGACUACAAUUUAUAAAUGGAGAGUAAAGUAAUGAGAGAUAUCAACACAUAAUAUUUGUUAACAUGGUUCAGAUCAACAAUCUUACUCUGUGGAGCCUCGAUUAGUGAAUAAUUUUAUUCAAUAAUUGUACGGAUCACCUAUUGGCUUAAGCACAAUCUACCCUUACACAAAAAGUAAUUGUAGCCCCAACAAUAAUCCCGAUUGGUAUAAAUCACUCACCCAAAACCUCACUUACAAAUCAAAAGAACUCUCCGAUAAAACAAAUAACCAACCAAAAGCACUCUCACAAGUACGCAAACAUGUGCUGAUAGGUGUUAAAAGUAACAUGUUUUAGUCUCACUCUUAAUGCAUUUUUGAAUGAUUAUUUGAUGUUAAUUGUGAAUUUUAUGCUCUUAAUCUUUUAAAUUCACGUUUUUAUACUUAAGAAAGCAUUUGGGAGCAAAAAUCGAAAAAUUGGAGCAAGGUAAGGGGGCCACACGAGCUGGACCCUCCUACACGGGCAUGUUCCAAACCGUGUAAAAAUCACGAAUUGCAUUCCAGAAAUGCAGAAAAACUCAAUUUUUAGGUUUUUUGAGCAUUUUAAGACCUAUAUAUCAAAUAUAAGAAGAGGGGAGAGGAUUGUUUUAGAAUACUCAAGAAAAUUACUCGGAAAACAUUAUUGAAGUCGACUUUGAAGCAGAUUUCCAUCAAGAUUGAAGAUCUCCUUUUGAUUUAUUUGAACUUUAUUAUGAGUUUAUUUGUUUCUUGUGGUUAUACUAUCUCUGGGAUGUUUUUAUUGCAACUAUGAACUAAUUUUCUAAAUGCCUAGGGGAGAUGAACCCUAUGAUGAAUUUUGUCUUUGGGAUGUUUAAGAGUAUAUAUAGCAUAAUUGAGUGGAAUUGCAUGCAAUUCUAGAAAUAAGAUGAUAUAAAUCUACUGGAUUAGAGUCAAAUCUAAUAAAGGGAUCCAUAAAUCGAGUUAAUGCGAUAAUAGGAGUUUUGAAUUAGAAAGAAAUUUAAACUAAUCAACCUAGAGUCAUUUACUCUUACUCUCGAAAAGAGAUAUUAGCAUAAUUUAGGGAUUUCUACAGAUCAAGAUGCUAAGUAAAGGAAUUGUUUAAUUCAAAUUGAUAUCUUUCCUAGGUAUUAUUUCGCUUCUUGGUUGUUAAUCGUUUGUUUUCUUGAUUCGUUCUUUGUCGGGUUCUUUAGUUAAUUAAUUUAGUUAAUUUUAGUUUUAAAUCAAUCUCACCAAUUUACCGAAUAAAUAAUAGAAAGGUAGUAAUUACUGGUACUUUUAAUCCUCAUGGGAACGACAUCUUUGCUCACCGUAGCUAUACUAUUAAUUGAUAGGUGCAUUUAUCUUUGUCGGAUUUUUAGUUGGUUUAUGAUCGUAAUCAUGUGCAACAACCAACAACUUUUAUAUGCCAAACACAAGAUACUUUUAAGCAACAUUUUGAUAAGCUUAAAACUCUUAAUAAAAAAUCGAAUUUAUCUCUUAAAAUAUCUUAAUAAUUAUCCCAUAACUUCAUAUCCAAAUAAAAUAGCCAACUCGGUCUCCAGGUAAAAGGAUAAGGUACGAGAUGAUGAAAACUGAUCCUUCCUCCUCUUCCUCUUCAAAUUCAUGAAUCGGCAUCAUUAAGGAUAAAAUAAAACAUGGUCUAAGGAUCAUUUGCUGAUAAAGUAACACACCAUGAAGAUAAAAGUAAAAAAAUGUCAACUUCAUAAUGCGCUUAACUAUCUUAAAAGCAUGUUUAAACUGUUGUCCAAAUAUCUAUCCAGACAAUUGUUUGAACAAAGAAUGAAACAUGAUUACAUAACAUACCAUUCAAAGAGGAGAGCAAGAAAAGCUAAGCUCCCAACAACCAGUAAACUGUUGUAUUUACUGGUAGGCACAAAUUUCAUUAUUAGAGUUACUUGUGAAGUUAGUAGUCUUUUUAGUGGAUCGUGUUAAAAGGGACAUGACACAUAGACUAUGACCAAGAUGAUUUGAGUGGUGGUAUGACAGAAUUGAAUUUCGUAGAAACCCACCCAACGCUCAACGUGCACUGAUAUAUGGACUCAUUAUUACAGACCCAAACCAUUAUGAGUUGGUGGUGAAUGUAGAUAGUAUUUUAGUUCAUUCAACAAAUCAAAUAAUAUCCCGUUGGCCCAAUGCUAUUAUCUACAUAUAUUUGUUAAUCGUUUGGGUCUGUAAUAUAUGGACUCCAUAUCCCCAUCCUCCAAUUUUCACUGCAUUCCAUUCUCUGCUUCUUUUGCCCCUCUUUGUCAGACUAUAUUUUCAGAGAAUUGUUGCAGAUGAUUUGGGUAGAAUUCUCCUACAAGUCCAUGCACUAUACCCAAGAUUGUAUUGUAGUCCCUCUACUUGAAAAAAAUAGAAUACUGGUCCUUGUUUGUUACUAAAAUAGCAAAAUAGUCCUUCCUUUAAAAUUGUUUGGUUAAAUGUUUAUUUUGUAUAUAAAUCCUAAUACUAAAUUUUGUCCUUUACCUUUACACUAUUAAUUUAUUUGGAGCAAAUUGACACUCAAACUUUCGAACUAUUUUAUCUUAUAUACUAAGUAAACACAUAAUUAGAGAUUCACAAAAAAUUAAAAAUUUAGGAAAAAAAUUAUAAAUAAAAAUUAUAAAUUUCCAAAAAUUAUAAAGAUAAAUAAAAAAUAAAAAUAUGUAGAAGUUUUCUCAAUUUUUAAUAAAAAAUUCUAUGAGAUGCAAAGGAGUUAAACAAAUAAUAAUAAUUUUAAAAAGUUGUUAAAAAAAUUUCACGAUUCUUAAAAAAUUAUAUUAAAAACUUAAAAGAUUAGUUUAAUUGUCGUUUUAAAAAAUAGUUUAAUUGCGUAAGUAAUACUAAAUUAUGUUAUCGAUACUUUACACAUCUUUUCAUUUUUUUUCCAAAUUGGGUUACCGUUUGAUUGAAUAAAUUAUUAAAAUAUAUUAAAAAAUAAAAAAAAAUAACUUGAUCGUCGGUUCAAUUAAUCUAGUCUUUUCUUCCGAAUCGAUACCUUGAUCACUUCUCAAUCCAAUCGUUCUAAUUGACUAGUUUGGUCCAGUUCUGAAAACAAUGACUUUUUUUAUAAUUUUUUUACUUUUUCUUCUUUUAAAAUUCUUUUUAUUUAAAAAAUAGAUUUUUAUUAUUAUUAUUGAGUCUUAACUCGGUUGGCAUGAAUAUUGCUAUCAAUGUAGUUGGUCGUGGGUUCGAGUGCACUGAAGCGUAUUAUCCUCCUAUUUAUGGGUUGAGGAGGGGCUAUAGGUAGUUCUAGCCUUCUAGAUAUUGUGUUAAAAAGAACAUAUAUGAUCAGAAGUUAUAAUGAGAUUGUUCAAAAAAAAUAUUUUUUUAUCAAAAAUUUUAAAAAAAAUUAUAUUUUUUGGAGAUAUUUAUAAAUAUUUUUAUAAUUUCUAAAAUUUUCUAGUUUUUAAAUCAUUUGCUAAAAUGUCAUGUAAUAUAAAAUAAUAUCACAUCAAUAAUAAAAUACAAAUAAAUUGUACGAGAGCUGCUGCUUUAGUGUCUCGUGCAAUUUCAAAGUAGGUGUUAAAUUGUAAUGGAAUUUUUCCAAUUUGACUCAAAAUAAAAAGUUCCCAAAUAAAAUAGAGUAGAGAUCAAAUUGAAUGUAUAUAUGUAUAAAGUCAAAUUGAAUAAAGAUAUAAAGGUUAGAGGCUAAUUUAUUAUAAUGCCUUAAAUAUAUAUAUAAAAAUAAAAAAAAAACUAAAUAAGUACUUAACAAAACAAUUUCAAUGAAGAGACUAUUUUUUAUUCUUUUCUAUAACAUACGAAAUUAAUUUGUUCAUUUUUUAUGUAAAGGGAUUAAAAUGCAAUCUAAGUAUAAUACAUAAACUUCUAUGGUAUUUUAUUGAUAAUUUGCUUGGUUUAUGAAAAAAAAACUUUUUUAUUAAUAAAUAUAUUGGAUGCAAUGGUAAAUUAUAUUAUAUUUAUAAAAUAAUUUAACGAUAUUAUUAAAAGAGACAACUAUGAACGAGAUAAUCUAAGUAAAAAAAAAAAAAAAGGUAAGUGGUUAGGAAGGCAAGCAUGAAGAGGAAGCAUAUAUAGAUGGUGGGGGAAAGUAGAAUUAAAGGAUUAGAUUUCAAAUAUGGACUAAUUGGGACCAAAAUAUUAAUUAAUUAAUUUGGGUUUAAGACUAAAUCUAGGUUGCUCACAUUAUUCAAUAGGUGUUCCAAUUUAAAUGCAAUAAAUUAUUCCACAUUUAACUUUAUUUGUUCAUCCAUCCAAAUUAUGAUAUUUUCAUCAUCAAUGAUAAUGGGCCCAAACCUCAUUUUUCUAUUACAACUAUUACUUUAAAUUAUUCCAUUAACUAAACUAGUUGACAAUAUCACUCAACUACCUUCUUAUUUUAUGUUUUUUUUUAAGAAUAAUUUUAAUUUUUUUUAAAAAUGAUAUAGUUUUUUUUUUCUCUCAUCCACCUCCCAUUUCGAAACUACUCAAAUAAAGAGUUUUAUUUUUAAUUUAAUACUGAAUUUUUUAAAAAAAAUUGAUGAUGAAUAGAAAAAAAAAAUAAAAUUUAAAUAUUAUUAUUUUGGUAUAUAUCUUUUACUUUAUAUAUUAAAAGAGAUAAUAUAUUAAUUUUAAUAUAUAAAAGUUAUAAUUAUAAUUUAAAUUAUUUUUUUGGUGAAUUAUAAUAACAAGGUAAAACUCAAACAACAAAUACAACUAGUAUGACUCUAAUUCAGACCACAUCUGGGAUAGUGACCACCCUUAACCAUCAGGCCAUCAUAUGGGGUUCUAUAUAAAUUUUAUAUAUACUUUUUUUUAAUUAAUCUGUGCAUCUUUUUUAAAAAACAAUAAACUAUAAUAAUUACUUAAAAUUUCUAAAAAGAAUAUUAAAAAUAUAUAAAUUUGAAAAUAAAAUCACAAAAGACAUUAUUUUUUAUCUUUUUAAGUUAAUUUUCUUUUCAUAUUUUUUAAAACUUUUGUAUAUUUCUAUUUUCUUACAUAAAAUUUUUAUUAAAUUUUAUCUAAUCUUUACAAAAUUCACUUAAGAUUUUAAAUUUUAUUUAUGUAAAAUUGAUAUGAAAAAUAUAAUAAUUUAAAAUAAAAAUUGUUCACGUAUCAUUAAAAUAAUAUAUAUAUAUAUAUAUAUGACUAGUUAUCAUGUUUUUUUAUUAUUUAUUAAAAUAAAAAAAUAAAAAAUUAGUAGUAAUAGGUUGGACUUGAAUAUGAGUCUAUUAAGUAGGUAAAGGUAUACCACAAUCUUUUUGACCUUCACUACAAAAGACAUCCCCGGAUAUGCUUUCCAUACAAUAUAUAUUGAAUAAUAAUAAUAAUAAUAAUAUUGUUUGAUGGAUAUGAUAAAAAUAUUAAAUUAAAUCAAUGUAUAAUUAUAUUGAUAAAUUUAAUAAUUUGAUAGUUAAAAUAUUAAUUAUAAAAAUAUCUAACAUUAAUUUAAUUUUAUACUAGUUUGAAAUAAAAACAGUAUAUAUAUAUAUUGGCAAAUCAAUUUUUAUAAAUAAAAAAAUAUUAGAAAUUAGCACAAAACAAGGCUGGAUCUCAUGGCACAGUGAUGCAGCCUGACAGGGAUCUUGUGAUCAUGCCAUAUUUGGAGCUCUUAAUUUGGACUUUUUCUAGUGAGGGUUACAUUGCCAAAAUAUACUUCAAUCCUUCUUGAUUUCAUGCAUACAAUAUUUCCCAUCAUAAAGAUUCAUGCUAACCUUCAUACUCACAUGAUUUUUUUUUAUUCAACAAGUUCUAUAUAUUUUAUUAGUUUUUUUUUCUUUAUUUACCAGCUAAGAUCAGUAGAGGUUGAUGUUGAACAAGAAAAUUUUCGAUAUUGGAUUAAGUUUAUGUUGCUGAAUCAGACAAUUGAAGUAUCAACUACCAGCAAAUUAUAGGGAAUUAUAGAAAAUUAAGUGAUGUAGUUAGUGACAGCAUCCAUGCAGAUAAUUGAUGUAUAAUUUUCUUAUAAUCCACUGUUGUCUAUUUUUUUAUAUUAAUUUUUUGUUUUAGAUUUUUAAUUUUUUUUAAUAAAAUGAGAUUUAUUAUAUGUUUUUUUAAUAUUAUUUAACAAUAUUUUAAAGUAUUUUUAUAAAUAUUUCUAAAAACUAAUAACUUUUCAAGAACUUUUAAACUAUUUUCACUAUUUUAAAUACAAAAUUUUUAUUUUUUAUAUCACAAAAAUUAAAAGUAAUUAUAAAUUGAAUCAAAAUAGAAUUUAAUUCGAUUUAAGAUAACCUCAAUUUUUAAACUUGCAUACCAUAAAUUAUCCAAUGAUGAGAUCAAAUUUUCAAUUUUUCUUGCUCAAUCAUGAAAUCAAAGCUUUUAAUAUCCAAAAGAAAAAAAAAAGAAGAAGAAGAAGAUAAUUUAGUAUAUAACUGAGUAUUUAUUAUAUAAAACAAUAAGACUGUAUUGUAAUGAGUUUACAGGAAUUUUUAGUUGAAAAAAAGUGUUGUCAAGAAUCCAGAAUACUACCAACUGGAAAGUGUUGAAUUUAGUUUGCAAAAGGUGAUUAAUCAAAAGUACCAACUUUCAAACAAACAUUUGAAUUGUUUAUUGAUAUCAUAAUACACAGAGUUGAUGAGCUUUUUUUUUUCAAUUCAUUAAAAUAGCUGUACAUAUAAUAUAAAUAAUUAAAGUGGAUUCCGUUAGGAAAACUAGGAUUAUGAAGAACUGUAAGUCAUUUUUAAAGCAUUGUUCUUCCAUAAAAUUCCAAAAUCUCCACCCAUCACAAACAAAAAAGACGGUAAACAAGUCCACCUUUAUGUCUGACUUAGUUGCAUUGCAUUUAAUAAUAAUAAUAAAGUCGGGACCUUUUCAAUAUUCUUGACAAAACAGUGCCAGCAGUGAGCCUGAAAAAAGAUCCCAGUGUCAUUCAUUGGAUGAACAGUGCAUGCUUGGUUUAUCUUUGACAUCAUGGAUUCUUUGAAUGAUGAUGAUGAUUAAGUGGUCUAGUUUUCAUAAACAUUGAUUUCUGAUUAGGGAUUUCAGUGAUUGAGAGGGUCAGUACAGCAAUUACACCAUCAUCACACAAAAUAAAAAAAAAUUGCAGAAACUAAUAAGCUUUUUACUAUGUACUGUCAAAAGAAGAAAUGUUUCAUUUCAUUUCUAACACAAAUCUCCAGAAACUGAAACUCUACGCCAUCCCCCCUCACCUUUGGGCCUUACCCCAUCAAAUCUUUCUGAUUUAACACCUGCAGUCAGUCCAUCUCAGUAGUAAUAAUACAUGACUUUCUCUUGGCUCUUGCUUUCAUCAAUGAGCAAGUGGUUGUUGUUGUUGUUGUUACAGCUAUUAUUACUGCUACUAGAGUCCAUCAGUCGCUUAACAUCUUCAAGAUCAGAGUCUAAUGGCGUUUCUCCAUGGUACCCACUUGGUUUCUCAGUCCAUUGGUUUCGGUUGCCGUAACUUAACAUGAAUUUGUGAUUGUCUUCAUACCCAUUGGGUGCACAAAAGCCCUGAAAAUUACUCAUGUCUUCUUGCUUGAUCUCUUUGCCAAAGCUACUACCAUCUGAGGAACUGCAGCUUGGUUCACUCGCAAACAUCAGAAACUUUUCUUUUACCGGAUAAUAACUCACAAAACUGUCAGGGGUGUUGUGAUUAAGAGAAGAAUCGGUAGCCAAAAAAGUAUUGUUAUGGUUCAAAAGAUCAGAUUGAACAGUUGAUGAGGGUUCAAAGCCUGCAAAAGAUCUACUACUUGGAGUAUAAUAAUACGAAGAGCAGUCUUUGUAUGAUGGAGGUAUAGUUUGAUGAGAAGAUGGGAUUGGUAGUGGUGGUGGUUUUCUCUGUGGCUGAGAACUCAAAGCCAUGAGCUUCUUCUUAAGCUUGGUGUUCCAGUAGUUCUUGAUAUCAUUGUCAGUCCUGCCUGGUAACUGAGCAGCUAUUAUUGACCAUCUGCAAGUUUCAUAAAGAGUUCCAUAAGAAGUAAAUUCCUUGCCUCUUUCUGUAACAGUUUCUAGUAGGUGAUGUUGUUGAGUCUAAAUUCACCUACUAGCAUACAUGCAAGAGAAUUAUCCUGAAAUAGCAGAUUCUUGAAUCUAAACCCUUUUCGGUAGAAUUCGUUAAUAUCGCUUCAUCAUGGCAGUAUAUAGAUUUGGUAAGGUGGGAAGGUCCCAUCGAAAGAAUUAAAAGAUGGAGAAAGUACCUGCUUCCAAUGGUAGCAAAGAGGUUGCAGAUAACCAUAUCUUCCUCCUCAGAGAAUUCACCAUGUUUAAUGUUGGGCCUGAGAUAGUUUAGCCAUCUCAAUCUACAGCUCUUCCCACAUCUUUUCAGACCUGGAUAAUAUAUACAGAGACAAGAAACAACAAAUUAGCUAAGGAAUCACCAAUCAAAGAGAAAAAGAGAAGCAUAAAUGAAAUAUAUUUACCAGCUUUGUGAGGGAGAGCAAUCCAAUUACCACCAGUUCCAUAUUUCUCAAUGUAGUCCUUGAGCUUAGAGUCUUCUUCAGGAGACCAAGGUCCUUUCUUCACACUUGCCUUGUCACAGCAAGGAGCCCUCCCCAUUUCUCUCUCCAACACAACUCUUGUGAUCCCCUUAGAUAUUUCUGUUGACACCUCUUUUUACAAACCAAACCAACCCAAGCCAAACCUCUCUCUCCCUUUCUACUACUAAUAAACUUCCUUGCUGACUGCUUCCUUUUAAUAGGAAAGAUUUGUGCUCACAAAAAUACAAAAACAAUUUUACUUUGGAUUUUAUUAUUUAUUAACAGGUACAAAUUAUUUAAUAUGUAUAGUUUCUAACUGUUACAUCUAAUUUAGAAAAAAUAAUUUCACUUUGAUUUCUUUUAGAAAUUAAAAAAUAUUAUUAUAAUAAUAAUAUAUGUUUAUAUUUAUUUAAAUGGAUAAAAAUAUUACCCAUUAUCAAAGACAUCAAAAGUCCAACGUUAAUUGUUUAUUGGAAAACAUAACUAUAUACAGAACCCUGCCCUACAGUUGAGACAUUUUCCAAACAACAGCAACUAUUCUCCAAGCAGAUAAUUUUCUUUUACUUUUUUUAUACACUCAAUAAUUUUAUGGUAACCAAUCAAGUCAGGUAUUGUGUUUCCUUUUUCUUUCAUUUCAUUCUCCAAGUAAAAUUAUCAUUUAUAUUGUUAAAAAUUAUCUUGAUUAAAAGAAUAAUCAACUAAUGAUAUUUGAUACCUAUAUAUAAAAACUAACUUUUUAACAUUUGAAACGGACAAAAUUUUUAACAAAAGAAUCAAUUUACUCUUUAAUCUAACGUAAAACAAUUAAUUUAUCCAAAUCUAACUCCUAAUAUAAAGAUUUCCACGUUACUUAUACUCAUAGAGUGAGGGUACCAAAAAGGCAAAGCACAUCAAAAAUCAAAUACACACAACUACAUGAGGUUAAAAAAAAAAAAAACUAAGAAAACAAAGAAAAACGAAGGUCUCCACAUAUCAGUUACUUGGUGAUCAGAUCUGGUGCUUUCUCCCAACUGACUAAUGAAUGCGAAACUGUUGAUGCAUCAUAGCCUAUUAUUAUUAUUAUUACCACAGAAAUAGGAAGUAGUGAAAAGUGGGCAAACAACAGCUUAUAUAUUGUGUCUGAUACAUUGUAACAUUUCCAUAUUAACAAGGGCUUUCAUUUUCGUUCAAGUGACACAAGAGAAAAGAGCUGUCCCUAUAUGCACCCCUUACCACUUGGGAAUGAGUACCCUACUCUACUUGGUAUAUUGUAAUAAAUAAUUAAAUCCAGGUUUGUUUACCUUCCCUAAUUAGUCUUGCUAUAAUAGACUUCCCUGGAUAGGUUUUUUCUUUUGGCAUUUAUAUCAGCUUAUAGCAUAUCUAUGGCAGAUAAAAGGCAUGCUUUUUGCUUCCAUGUUUAUUCCACCCUCUAUAUGGUUAGUGCCCAAUUCCCACAUACUGAGACUAUACACAGAUAAUUUAUCAUUUCCCUUUUUAUGUUUAUUUCAAACUAUAUAUAAAUUUUGAUUUGAUAUUUAAAUUUCAUACACUAAUUUUAUAUUGGUGCAAUUUGUAUAUAUAAAACUUUAAUUUUGAUUCAAUUUUGGCAUAACACUAAUAAUAUUAUUUGUGUGGCACUAUUUUUUCCUUUUAACCUAGGUUAAUUUUAUGAUGUGGCAUUUUAUUAAACUAAAAACGAAGGAGUAAAUUUAAAAUUUUUCACGUUGCUACGAUGAUAAAAACAUGUAAUUUCAAUUUAUAUAAAAUAAUUUAAAAUUAUUCAUAACCAACUUGAUUUAGUGAAGAGAUAUUAUAAGAAAAAGUAUUCUACUUGAUUUAUUGAUUUAAUAAGUUUUUUGUUUUUAAUAGCAUGUCAUAUUAGCAAUUUUCACAUGACAUAAUAGAAAAUAAUUUCAUAUAAUUGGCUCCUCCAUUAGAUCAUUCGUUCUUAGCAGCACACUCUCAUCCUCGGAAGGGGACCACUGAGGCUUAAUAACCUUGAACUACUUCAACAAAGGAAAUGUUAGAGUAGGCCCACACAAAAUUAUGGUUGAUGACAACUAACAUAUAAUGGACUUGCACUUGGUCGACCAUACGGGCGAUCCACCAUCCUUACUGUCAGUAACAUGGCACUGUCAGGCAAGGGGACCUUCCCCCUAUAUAUACCUCAACCCACGAUAAACAAAGGAUCCUUCUCAUGUUUUACUCCCUUAAACCUUAAUAUUCCACAAUCUCCUCUCUUUAGCUCCCUUCUCCUUUCUCCUUCCGUCCUACUCCUCCGACUCCGGCAUUCUACUUGUAAUAGGUGAACACCUCCUUACCUUCACCACCAUUUCCAUCCUACCUUUUCCUUGUCAAAUACUAGUAUCAACAAGGUUUAAUGGUUUAAAAAAAAAACACAAAGAAAAAACUUAAAAUUUUAAUUGACUCUUCAUGAAAAAUUUGCAUCUAAUUGAGUCAUUAAAAUUGAAAAGUUGAUCAAACAAGUCUUUUGUUAACGUUGGUCACGUUUAACCAUGACUUUUUACAAAUGUGGCAGACAAAACAAGAAAAUAGUGACACGUGGCGUGCCACAUGUACCUAAUGUUGAUAUUCUAUUUUACCAAUAAACAAAUAUUUUUAGAAAAAUUAAAAAUCCUAAAAAUAAUUAAAAUUUAUUUAAAAAUUAAAAAUAGUUUCUCAAUCAGUUUUAAGAUCUUGGAACUCUAACUUCACCUAAUUUUGUUAAUCAAGUAUCUCUCGUUCAAGUGUUCAAUCUAUGUAAUUACUAACCCAGGAUUCAAUGGCAUUAACUAGACCCUUCCAGUAUCUAUCUAAGUUAAUCCCCCUCCCCACUAACUAUAUUCCUAUGCUAGGCAAGUUGGGUAAAGUCACUAUGACCAAACCUAUUGGGUUGAUUAGGAUAUCAAGUAUAUUCCUAUCCUAUCCGCAAAUUUAACUUGUUCACCGAUGCUACUAAAGUUAAUCUUAAUCCAUUCAGUCUAUAUUUAAACCUUAAUUUUCUAUAUUAAGACAAAUCAAGACUAUCAAAUUAUACAACUUGGUGGUCAGACAAGCAGAUUAAAUAAGUAUGGGAUUGAAUAAAUAAUUAACAAGGAUAGAAACAAUUGAAGAAAAUAAAUUAACUAACUAAAAAAUAAGAUACAUUAUCAUUCCAAGAAAAGAGUUUAGUUCAUGUUGAUUUGAGAAAGCAUUACAAGAAUAAAUUCAAAACAAAUUUGCAUUGAUAAAAAGUAAAAAGAAACAAUCUAGAGAGAAAAAUAAUUAUUGAAUUAGUGUCGAGCACUUCGGAUCUCUUUUUCUUCUCCUCUUUGCAAGCUUGAAAGUUCGUUUGGUGUGAAUGAGUUGUUUCUUAACUUCCAAGUUGAUUUUUCUCUCUUUUUCUCCUCAUUUCCUUUUAAAUCACGCCAACCCUUAUUGUUAGGGUUUUAAUCGUUCCGCUCCACCAGACGCAGAAUUGCGGUGGAGCGGACUGCUUGUUGUUUGAAAAUUCUCAAUUGAAGAUUGUGCUUCACUGGAGCAAAAGGCUCCUCUUCACUACUUUUUACUAUAUGCAUGGUUCAAGCGUUUCAUUCUUCAUUCAAAGCCGACAAUGUAGAGAGGAAAAUAACAAAUAAAUCUGAGCUAACUCUAAAAAUAAUAAAAAUAAAAUAAAACAUGAUUAAACUAAAAAUACAAUUUUUUGGAGGUCAAACUAUAAUUUUACCAUUUAUUUACUUAAAAUUUCAUAAAUCUUCAAGAGCUAAAAGUACAAUUUUCCGUUUAAGAGGUGGGGCUCUUGCUUGUCCUCCUUUCAAUAUUCUUAGAGAUUAAAAUAUUUGAUAAAUUUAACUCUUAACAUUUAAUUAAAUUUUAACUGAGAUUUUAUUUUGUGAAUCUUUUAAAUUUUGUGUUGUUUUCUAAUAAAUGGAAUCUUUCAAAAAAAAAAAGAUUUCUUUUAUUAAAAUGUCAACUUUAACAAUCAAUUUAAAGGUAUCCAUUAUUUAAUAUUAAGCUUUCACAAUCUAGAUAACAAACAAUAAUUAAAUUAAUCAAAUCUAUAUAUGAAAGAAAAUUUUCAAAAAAAUACAAGUGUCUUCUUCUGCAUUGACUCUUGUACAAGAAAGAGAGACAUCUUUCUCAACGGUUGGCCAGCUAAGAUUAGACAAUUGUGCAUGCUGUAUCCACUUCAUUAUAAUAACACUAUUUAAUGACUGAUUAAUAUAAUUAAUGAAAAAUGUGAUAACUUUAUUUUUAAAUCUUAUUAUUUAAUAUCUACUUAAAAAAGUUGAUUUAUUUAAAUAUUUGUGCAGGAGUGAGCAAAAUUCGAUUUAAUUUCAAAAAACUCGAUAAAAAUUCAAUUUUAAAUUAAAUAAUUUGAGUUAUUUGAGUUAUUCUGAUCAACUUGAAUUAAAAAUUAAGUAUUUUGAUUUAACUUGAAUAUGAAUAUAUGAAUUACACAAUUUGAGUUAUCUGAAAAUCUGAAUAAGAAAAGGCAAAACUACAACGUUUUGAUAAAUAUUUACUCAUUAAGUUAAAAAGUAAAACAAUUAUAUUGUUUAUAUAAUUAAAUAAUAUUGUACUUCGUCUACUGGUUAAAUAAUCGGUCUAUGUAAAGGCAACAUUGAGUAUAAAUAAUAUGAUUCGUUAACUCAACUGAACUUAACUUGAAAUUUUUUCACUCGAUUCGAUUCAAUUCGAAAAAAAAUCACAUUGAGUUUGGUUGCUAAAAUAUGAUUCAUCAACUCAACUAAUUUAAAUUUUUUUACUUAAUUCAACUCGACUCGAUCGAAUACUCAUCCCUAUAUUUAGAUAUAAAAUUAUACUUUUUUUUCCGUAUUAUGAACCAAAAAUAAAGAGUAGGCUAUUUUUCAAAUUUUAUUGCACCUUUGUUAUCGCACAAAUUUCGAAGUGCUUCCCAAUUUUUGACAUUUACCUUGUUAUAGUCUUAAAGUAGCGUUGAAUUCUAUAUGAUUUACGUAGUAGAGUUUGAUUGCGUCUUCAGAUUUAAUUUUCAAAAUUAAUCAUACUUUUACAAAUCACAUAUAUCCAUUUUUACCAUACAAUAUUCUUGAGAAGGGAUAUACUUACAUUUUUCGUAAUUUUUUAUACGAUUAAUAUUUUAACAAUUUAAUCGUUAUAUUUUAUACUUUAUUCAUAUAUAUCAUGUAUAUCGAGUUUGAUAUAAAUUAAAAAUAGUCAACUAUUCUUUUUAUGAAAAAAGACUUUUAAUCGUUAAAUAUAUCAAUAUAUAUAUAAUAUUUUAGAUCAAUAAGAUAGAUAUAUUUGAUCGAUUCAAAAAUUUACACACAUAAUAUGUACAAACAAUUGAAUCAUUAAAAUAUUAAUCGUACAAAAAUAUAUAUAAAGAGUAUAAAGUAGCUUUACUAUAUAUAUUGACUAAUGAGAGAGAUUUACUUAUACUGAUGUAAAAUUAAAGUAGCUUGAUACUCUUUUAUAUAUUUCUGUACGAUUAAUAUUUUAACGAUCUAACUAUUAAAUUUAUUAAUAUAUUUGUACUUAUUAUGCACAUAAAUUUUUGAACCAAUCAGAUAACUUCACCACACUAAUCUAAAAUGUUGUAUAUAUUAAUAUUUAUUGAACUAUUGAAAUUUUUUUACACAAAAUAAAUAGUUAAAAAAUUUUAAAUUUAUAUCAAAUUUUACAUGCAUAAUCUAUAUUAAUGAAAUAUAAAUCUUUAAAGCUUAAUCAUUCAAAAAUAUAUAAAAAAAAAACCUGAAAACUACUUUAAUUUUACAUCCCAUAGGCAUUUCAUAAUACCUACAAUGUAACCUUUGAAUAUUUGCUAAAUGAUGUAAUCUUUUGUGUUCUUUUAUAUCAUGCCUUCUCUUCAAGGGUACAAUUUAAAAAAUUAAAUUAAGAAGUUAGUUCGGUUAUUGAUAUUUUUAUUAAUUUGUUUCAUAUAAAAUUUUAAAUCGUUAAAUUUACUAAUUUCUUACAUAUAAAUUUAUAAAUUGCUGAUUUUAAGAUGAUCAUUUGACGAUAAUGUUUAAUAGUGUAAUCCAUUCAAACUAACUUGUAAGAUACAAAAACUAAAUUCCAACGAGAGAUUAACUUUUUGAAUUUUUGUAAAAGGAUGCUAUUAAUAAAUAACACUGAAAUUUGUAGUUAGUUCACAUUUUAGAAGAAUAAGAUCAAAUAGUACCAAAUGAAAUUUUAGAAGAAUUGGGGAGCAAAGUGAAAUUUGUGAAGAAAAGAGGGUCUUUCUUUUGAAAACCUAACAGACAAAAGUCAAAGAAAAGUCAGUCUCAAGGCUUUAAAUGAAAAAGUCUCCUCAAACUCGGAUUCUGAGUGGACAAAAGACAAAACCCUUUUCUCGCUAGCUGUCUCCAAUGACGUAAUACGUUGCGUACGCCACGUUACAAAGGCAGAAAAAUAAUAUUAUAAUAAGAGACUGCAUUUAAGGAAAAAAUGGUGAAGUAUAUUUCGAUGCAUUUUUCGUUUGGAGGAUCAUAGGUAGAUGUAGGAAUUAUAGAAAAAAUGAUUUCCUAGAAUAAUUAAAAAAUCAAUUAACCAUUUAAUCAAAUAUUAAUAAUUAAUUCAGCUCUUAAAGUAUAAUUUUUUUUAUCCGAUGAUGUGGCAAUUAACAAGAUGAAUAAUAGUAUGAAAAAUUAUGAUGUGGUGAAUGAUGUAGAAAAUGCUAUCAAAAGAGUUUAAUUGCUUUUUAAUUUAUUUUAUAAGGGUUUAAUUAAUUUUUAAAAAAGUAUAAAAAAAAAUUAUAAAAAAAAAAAGAGUUAAUGCACUUCUUGGGCUUGAACUUGAUAAUUUUUCUCAUAUUGGAGCUUGAACUUGUCUUUUUUUUUUUUUUUUGCUUAAGUUAGUUAUUGAACUUGUCAAUUGUUCUACAACUAAUUUUUUUAUCCAAAUUAGCCCAUGAUAUUUCCUUAAAAUAAGUUGGAGAAAAAAAAGUUCAAACCCUAAUGUGAGAAUAAUUACCUACUUCAAAUCCUAAUAUGAGAACAAUGGUCGAGUUCAAAAAUUAACUUGGACCAAAAAUGUAUUCUAACCCUAAUGUGAAAAUAAUUGUUAAGUUCAUUCUCUAUUAACUCUAAAAAUAGUAUAAAGAAGUUAUAAAAAUUUUGUUAAAAUAUAAAAAUAUUAAAUUUUAUAAUAGUAGUAUUUUUAACUUUUUAUAAUAUUUAAUACUUUUUCAUAAUUUAUAUAAUUUUUUCUAUACUAUUCUAAAAGGUUUAUAAUAUUUUAAUAAUUCUAAUAACUUUAAAAAGCUCUUUAAUAAAAAAUUACCAUUUUUUUAGUUUUUCUUCACACGUUGUCCUAUAUAGCACCAGAGUUCAUUCUUAUAUAAUCUUUUCUUAACUAAAAUCAUUAAUCACUGCUCACUUCAAGUAACUAAACACUAAAUUAAUUGUCGCUCAAACCCCUCACUCUGCACCCCAUAUAUAUUCAAUUAUCAUUACACUUCAAGUUCUUCAUUUUCUUAUUAUUGAAGCCAAAUACUUUAAACCUUCAAAAUAGCAAAAAUUUUCUAUAAAUUUUUAAUACUUUUAUAACAAUUUAAUAUUUUUAUAAUAUUUAUAAUAUUCAUUUUAAUACUUUUAAUAUAAAUACCUAACACUUUUUUAUAGUUUUAAUUUUUUAAAAAUUCUAUAAAUUCUGUAAUUUUUAUUAUUCUUUCUUAUUUUUCAUAAUAUAUUAAUGGUUUUUAUAAUUUUUAAUAAUAUUUUAAUCAUUUUAUAAUUAUUAAAAAUUUUAUAAUAUUUUUCUACAAUUUUUAUAGUUUUCUAAAUUUUUUAAUCAUAUUUUAAUAAUUGAUAGAUUUUUAUAAUUUCUAAAAAUCAAUUAAGCUUUCGUAAAAUACUUAAAAAUCAAUUUGUUAUCACAGUUAGUUGUUUAUAUCUUCAAAGAGCACAUGCGACAAGGGGAUAAGUGUAGCGGAUACUCUGAUUUUGACAAAAAAAAUUAAAAAUCAAUUAACCCUAUAUGUUAACACUUUUUCAGAUCAAAUGCCACAUUUGACACCACAAUAUUAUUUUUGGAACAUUAGCCGCUAGGUUAACUGUCAAGUCUUCACUUAAUAACCCAUUAGAGACUUUGAUGGAAAACUAAAAGUCAAGGGUUCAAUUGAUUGCUAAUUUUAAGUUAAAAACUCAAUUAAUUACAGUUUUUAAUUAGGGGUUUAAUUAAUUUUUUAAUUAUUUCGCAAGGCAUUUUUAGAACUUGAGCAUUUUGUUUAUAAUAAAAGUUAUGAAAUUUGCAGUUUUUUCUCUCAAAAUGUUUUUAGAUUAAUUUUUAAAUUAUUUUUUAAUAUUAAAUAACUUAACAUUCAUGAAGAUGGAAGUUUGUAUGAAUAUUUUUAGUCAAACCUCAACACCCUUGAAUGAUGAGUUUAAACUACUUCUGCAAAAUCUAUGACGAAAUCUAAUUCUUUGGUUUGAGAUAUGAUUGAAAUAAUAUUGUAAUUUCAACAUUUAUGAGUGCGAAGGUUAAACACUUUGAUAAAAUCUUCUACAAACUAACUCAUACCUACUAUUUUCAAGGUCUGGUUAGUUUAGCUUAUAAAUAUCCACACCCAGACCCUUUUCAUAAACCCCAUAACUCUUAUGAGGUCGAGGAUUUCAAAUUGCCCCUAAUUUCAAACGAAGGAAACCUCAAUUCUUUUGAUUUCUAUUGUUUGAUUAUUUUUGAAAAAUCUAUAUUUAUUCAAAUAUUCGUUACUACAAUAUUUUUAUUUCAACUAGUAGUAUUAUAAUAUUAAAAAGUAAAAGUAAAAUAUUAUAUACAUAAAAUAACAUUAUCCACUAUUAAAAUAUUAAAAUAUUAAUUUUUAUUAUAAUAUUAUUUAUAUUGAAAUAAUUGUUAUUGAGUAUUAAUUUUCAUUAAAGUAUUCAUAUACACAAUUUUCUUAAUCAAAUAAUGAUUUGAAAAAUUGGAGACAAAUAAAAGAAUUUUUUUUGUGAAAUUGGUUUACAAUCUUUGGAUGAAUUUUUUAUUAUUCUCUUAAAUAGAGUUUCAAUCCAAGACAGGUGUUUUCUAAGUGGCUGAUAGAUUUUGUUACUUGCCAUAUUUGAAAUUGACAAUAGAUUUUAUUACUUGCCAUAUUUGAAAUUGACAAUUUUUGAAUAAAACCUUUGAGCUUUAAAUGAUUCUAAUAUUGUAGAAGUAUGCAAGCUUGUCUUUGAAAUUCAAUCCAUUUAAAGCAAUGUAUAUUGAAGAUUGGAUUGGAUUGGAUAGAAUCAAGCAAUCAAAUUCCUUGGAUUGUGGAGAUUGGAUCAGGAUAGCUUUAAAGGCAUAUAUCCAACAAUCUAAGUUACAUUUGUCUUUAUUAUUAUAUUAUACCUUGUUAUUUUAGUUGUUGGUUAAUAAGGGAAUUGAUUGUAAUUGAUAUAUAUAUGUUAGAAAGUUUUGUAACUCUUAUAUAUUUUAGAGACUUGCAUAGGUUUUAUACUGAACAUUGAGAGCAUUUAUUUGUUCAUAGUGGAAUAUAUUUUCGAGAGUGCAUUUAAGAGAGUAAACAAGUUGUGUUUACAGCUUAAGUUCUCAAGAGAAGUAAGUACAAUUUAUUAUAUAUAAUAAAACUAACUUGUUCUUUAUUUCUAUCCUAGGUCGAAAACUUUUGUUAUUUGAUAGCAACUUCCUUUCGUUAUCAUUCCCCAAGCACUAAUGCAAGGAAACUGUAAAAAUAAUGGCGGUAAAACGAUCGUAAAAAUAAGAACACACAAAUUUUAUGUGAAAAACCCUUUCUGGAAAAAACCAUGGGCAAAGGAGGAGAAAUUCACUAAUGUUGAUAAACAAAUGAUACAAGAGGAGUUUCGACUACAUCUAUUUAAGGAUUGAAAAACCCACAGAUCCCCUUAUUUUGCCACUGUAUUUAUUUCUCCAACAAGUGACGGGAUUUGGGUAGCACAAUCUCUAAUAGAAACAAAUAAUGAAAAUAACUACAAAUUUAAAUAAUAGUAAGAAUAAAUUAUUUUUUUACCUUUAAAUAUUGUUGAACAAAUGGGGGAGGGGGUGGUGCUCUAUGACGAAGAACGACAGGAUGGGAAUUGAUGGGUCAAUGAUGAUGAAUGACGGUAGGAGAGGUGUUAGUGAUGUUGAAUGUUGGCAAGGGAGAAAAGAGCAUUUUUUUCUUACGUUUUUGUGUGGAUGAUGAACGAUGACAGAAGAGUGGUCAACGAUGAUAAAAGACAAGAGGGAAGGUUUUGGCAAUGAUGAACGAUAGGUAGGGAGUGGUCACCGAUGAUGCACGGCUGUAGGGGAGGGUUCAACAAUAAUGAACGAUGGUUGGGGAGGAGUCACCGAUAAUGAAUGGUGGCAAGGGAAGGGAGGGGAUUUGAUUUUUUUUUCUUUCGAUUUUUUCAAGUUUAAGGUGAAUGACAACAGGGGAGAGCUCUUUGGUAAUGAACGAUGGUUAGGAAGGCUCACUAAUGAUGAACGACAGUUGUGGAGGGGAGGGUUCUAUUUUUUUUCUUUGUUAGGGUUUCUUUUCGCUAUAGCCUCUUUGUCUCUUGUGUAUGGUAAUUGAGUAAUAUUAGUUUCCACAAUUUUUCCCCCGUUCAUUUGUUUUAAAUCCAACUGUUGGGUUUUAGGUUUCUCUUAAUCUAAUGGCUCCUAUGUUUUGGAGCUUUUCUUAAGCUUAUAUUAGUUUUUUUAGAGGUCAUGUUAGAAUUAUUAGAUCUAAUGCCCUAAAUGUUGUAUAUUCAUUUUGUAUACUUAUAUUAUUCGAAAAAAUUAGUUUAAUAAAAAUAUUUUUUAAUUACAUUAAUAUCAUUUGUAUAUUGUCCUUGAUAUUUUUACACGCAAAGCAAAAUAAAAGUAAAUAUUGACUCACUAUUUAUCUAAUGUUUAAGUAAUAUUAAGCAGUAUUACAUGGUCAGAUCAUAAUAUGAAAAUAACUUGCAUUAGUAGAUAAACCUAAACAUGUUCUUCGCCUAAUAGGGAACGAGCUAACCAAUUAAAAGACUAAUAUGUUGUCUGUCAAGUUCAAUUGUGGAGAUGUUUUGUCUUGAGCAGAAUAGAUCCUAGAUUCGUUUAUGGAUUUAUUUACUUGUGAUUUUCAUAAUAUGACAUAUCUUAAUCCUGAGUGAAUAAUGAACUAUGUAUGUGUGACUCAUAUACUUUUACGUAAGUAAAAGCCUAAGUUUAAAUAGACAAGGAACCAAAAGCUGGUAUGUUGGGUAUACGACUUUUGUAGUAUGUAGCAUCAUUCACAAUAGUGUAAUUCAUAGCUAAACUAAUGGGUAAAUGAUAUCUUCUCAUUGAUAUUAUAGACUUCUGUAAUAUGUAGCAUCAUUCACAAUAGUGAAAUUCAUAGCUAAACUAAUGGGUAAAUGAUAAUUUCUCAUUAACAUUACAUGAUAAAUGAAAAGCAAAAAUAACCAUGAGUUGUUUAUUUUUGUGAUAAUGACUUGAUUACUAUUUGAUAUAAUUGAUUUUUCAUGAAGGAAGAUGUAAUGGUUACCAUAUUGGGAGAACAAAUUUAUCCCCAAGAGAUUAAGGAUAUCCCUAUGAGAGUAACACAUUUAUGACGAGGUCCUUAGAUGAGUACUUAUUAAGUAGUUUUCGUAAUGAUAUGUAAUUAGGGAGAGCUCAAUUAUGAUUCUAUAGUGGAAUGAUUUUGUGACUAUAUAAAUUUAUAAUUAAUAGGCGAAAAGUUGAAACUUAAAUAUAAAUUAUUUGAGCUUUAACUAUAUAUGUCUAAUUGAUCCUUUCGCUAGCUUGUUGAAAUCGAAAAUGAAUUCCAUGUAGAUACAAAUGAACAGAAAUGAUAAAGUUGGAGAAAUAAGUCACAUUCACAAAUUAAUACGUUUUCUCACUAAGUAUAAAAAUGACAUGAGAAUCAGUUUAAGGUUUUUGAAUUAUUAUUUAAAUUAAAGAAUUGAAGUUCAAAAAUGAGAUUAAAUUAAUUAGUCAUUACGAAUCCGUUGAAUAAGGAAAUUAAAUAUAUUUCCUCUUAGAUUUUUUACGGUAAAAUUGUUAUGAUUUUAACGGACUUAGAAUUAGGUUGAAAUAAAAAUUUAUUUGGAAAUUAAUAGAAUAAAUCAUAUUUAUUUUGGAAAAUAUAAAACUAGUAUUGGGUUGGAUUAAAUUAUAAUGUUUUAGUUUAAAAAUACUAAAAGCAUAUAUAAUUAAACUCAAUACAGAAGAGACUCAAAUCCCCUUAUACAAGAUGAGAGGGGUGGCAACCCUAAUAGUUUUUACUAGGGUGUGCCGUCCACCCCUACUCUAGUUGGAGUAGGAAUGUGCUUUUUGUUAAAUAAAUAUUUUUGUGCAAGUCUUAUUUAACUAGAGAUCUCCUAUAUCUCCAUAUAUAUAUGACAUUGAUAGAGCUAUUGACACGCAAGUUUCAUAUAUCAUUAUUCUGUCAGAAAGUUGUUAGAAUUUAUUUUUUAGAACAAAUUUUAUUUUAUGAGAAUUAUGAUUUUUAUUUCUAUUGAGAGGAUUAUUUUUCUAUUGAAAAUAAUAGAAUCAUUUCUUAUUUUGUGUUUGGUUCAUGUUACUCGAACCUACACUUGGCACAAUUUGAGAUAUGAGGAUAAUAGAGAAGGUCGUUCGAUUUAAAGCCGAGAACGGUUUAAACCCACCUUGCACAAUUUAAUAAAAAAUUAUUGCUAUAAAAAUUGACUAUUUAAAAUUCUUUUAAAUUUCCUUUAUUGUCCUAUAAUAAUUUCCCUUCUAUAUCGGAUAUGGGAUUCCACGUCAAGCUCACGUACAUAAAAGAACAUAUUUCAAAUAAAUAAGUUUGAAUUGUGCAUAUUUUAGGGAGAAAAUGAGAAAAAAAUAUUUCAAUAAAAAUAGUGUAAAGAGGAGAGGUUUUUUUUUUUAAAGGUACGAGAUUUGUUAAUUAGUGUUUAAAAUGAUAAUCAUUAAAUUCGUUGAAUUAAAUUUUAUUAUUUUUAAAAUUGUAUAUAGUAAAUAUAUUAUUUUAUGUAUAAUAUUAUGUUAGUUUAGUUUUUUUUAUAUAAUACAGACAAAAAAGAUAUUUUAUAAUUCAUGGAUUUAAAGACUACUAUUAAUUUAAAACUGAAAUUUUAAAAUUUGUAAAAUAUAGUAACUAAGAAAUGAAUAAAUUGAAAAAUAAAAUUAAAUCCACAACUUACGCAUGGCAUAAGAUUAAUAAUAGAAUUUGAUCUAAUGAAUAUAUUACCUAUUACUUGUUUGAGAACUAAAUUUCAAAAUUCAAAAAAUAUUAAGAUAAAAAUUGACUAAGUUAAAUUAUAAAAAUAAAUAUAUUACUGCAUAUAAUACAAAAACUAAUCUCAAUUUAAACAAUAUUAGUAGAAAUAUUUGAAAAACUUUGUUUAAGUAAUGUUAUUUAAAUUAGAUUGAAUUGACUAAUUGGAAUAAUUGAAUUGAAAAUAAGUUAAAGUAUGGGUUUGAAAAGAGUUUAGAUAAAUUAAUUUAUGAAUCACUUUAAAAUAAAUUAAAAUUAAUUGAAUUAGCAAUUAAAUUAAUUUUUUUAUUUAAAAUAAUUUUAACUUCUUAACUUCUAUUAAUUUUCAUAAUUAAAAUCAACUAAUUAAAUAAAAAUUAAGGAUUGAUUAACAAAAAUUACUGAUUUUCUAAGAUUCGUGCAUUGUAUGGCUCGAAACGUGUCCAUUUCUGCAUCGGCGUUCUUGUCUUGUUUUGCUCCUGUCCUGGCUCCCACGUGAGGGCGGCUUCACGCGCGCGUGCCUAACUUUUUAUAGGACGCAUACGCAAGGUUUAAGUGAAAUUUAAAAAAAUAUAUUUUGUGAAUCGUUUUUAUCAUAUUAUUUAUGAUUUUAUUCAAUUAAAAGAAGAUUUAAUAUUAUUUAUUUAAAAUUUAAUUCAAAUAUACAUAUAAUAUGAAAAAGAGAUAACAUAUAUUUUUUAAUUAGAAGGUACAAUAAAUAAUAUGAUAAAAAAUUUCAUAAAAAUAAUUUAUUGACGUGACGGAGGGAUAAAGCGAGUACGUGAGUUGAUGAGGAUAUGUUAGAAUGGGAAUGAUGUGGCUGAGAAAUGCUCAGAUGAGAUGGUAAUAACCCAUCAAUCAAUCAAAUCAUGCCUCGGACUUUUCUUUUUCAUUUGCUAAAAUGAAACAGUUUAAAUUUUAAAAGAUGUUUGGAUUGUUGUCUAGUCUUUGGUUCUUACAAGAUCUAUGCGUUUGAUUCGGUCGGUAAGAAAGUUUGUAUUAAAAUAUGGAGUCGAUAUCUUCCAAAAUAGAGGUAAGUCCUAGCACUAGAACUAGAGCUGAACUCAUUUGACAGAAAUAAUCAUCAUUUUCACAUAUCACAAUCCAUUAAAAAUGAAGAAGCAAUUACCUACAAUGCAAAAUUAUUUAUGCAUUUUAAUCUUUUUAUUAAAAAACAAGUAAAUUAAUUUUUAUAUAAUUUUUUAAAUUUUUAUAUAUAUAUUUUUUUAAAAUUUCAUAAAUUAUAAUUUUUAUUUACAAUUUUUUUAUUUAUUAAUAUAACAUAUAUAAUAAAAUAGUGCUGCGUCAAUAAUGAAAUAUUGACUGCCCAAUUGCUUCAAAUAAAGCAGUAGCGGUGAAGAUGAAUAAAAAUGUAUAGGUGAAUGACUAAAUUUUGUAUUAUGAUUUAUUCAUAAAGCACCAAAAUAAGCAACAUUAAUUUUUUCUCUUCCAUUUAGCAUUUAAGGGUUUAGUUUUCUCAUUUUUACAAAAAAAAAUCAAAAUACAAUUCGAACUACAUUAUUAUAACAAAUGUCGAUAAUGACAGUAGAACGAUCACAAAGUAAUAAGAAAAGAAAAUAAGAACACAUAGAUUUUACUUGAAAAACCAUUUUGGGGAAAUUCACGGGCAAAGGAAAAGAAAUUCACUAAUGUUGAAAAAAGAAUGAUACAAGAGAAGUUUUGACUACAUCUAUUUAAGGGUUGAAAAAUCCUAUUCUAAUCAAAGUAAAAUAGAAGAAGUACAGGUCUAUAUGGAUUCAACUUGUUUUGCCCCCACAAAUCCCUUUAUUUUGCCCAUAUAAUUAUUUUUUAACAAGUGACUGGAUUCGAAUUAUACAAUUUCUAACAAAUAUCAUACAUAUAUGUUAUACCUAACUACUUCACUUAAGGGAAUUCAACGUCAUUGAAACUAAUCACUUUAAUCAGAUGACUCGUUAAAAUUUUCACAUAUUUUUUAAUUAGAUUGUGGUCAUAUCACAUCAAAGUUGUUUUAAAAAUUUCUUCAAUCAUAUCUCAUGAAAUUCUUUGAGGAUAGACCAACUCACGUCUAAUUACAUUAUAAUAGUAGUGGUAACACUUCAUGACCCUACACGUUAAUAAAGUCUCAUGCCAAGCUACUUAUAUAACCCUUUUCAUCUCUAAUAAGAGGCUAGGCACUCCCUAACUAGUAAAACUCUCUCAAAUUUCUCCACCACCGUCCGACAUUCUCAAUCCUUGACUAGGAGCUUUUCACACCACCUUGGAAACUGCUAUUGAUCCCUAUUUUCAAACCACUUAUCAACACCAUCAAAUAUAAGAUAUUGGUUCUUUCUUUUUUAAAGUCAAUUUUUAUUCCACUUGACAUUAAUCAUGAAAUUAGCAACGAUGCCUUCGGUAUUGUAACACCCUUAACCUAUAUUCGUCGUCGGAACAGGGUUACAGAGCAUUACCAGAGUUUACAGAACAAAUACAAUUAAUUCAUGUCUUUUACUAUUCAUAUCCGAAACAAAUCAUAAUUCAAUCAUAUUGUCUUUUAAAUAGGUCAUCGAUGCCCUUAAUACACGUUAGAAUCAAAUCGAGACUAAACCGGAAACUCAGAAUUUUUUUUGUGAAAUUUCAAAAUUUUUCUUAGGUGUAGGGGACACAUGCCCGUGUGGCUCAUACGGCCAAGUGACACGCCUAUGUCUUAGGUCGUGUGGGCUUUUGAUGUGAGGCACACGGCCAUGUCCCAGCCCGUACUCAAAUUAGGGUAGCUACUAAAUUGGGUCACACGGCCAGCCACACGCCCGUGUGUUAGGCCGUGUGGACAAUUUAAUUUUCAAAAAUUAGGUUCAGGAUUCACACGGCUAAGACACACACCCGUGUAUUAGGCCGUGUGUUCCACACGGCUGAGACACACACCUGUGUCUCUGCCCGUAUGACUAAUUAUAAGCAUUCUGUUUCUCAAUUUUUAAUAUGCAGGGGACACACGACCAAGCCAGACGCCAAUGCACAUGCCCGUGUGUCACACACGGCUGAGACACACGCCCGUGUGUCUACCCAUGUGGACAAAAAUAGGUCAUUUUCAUGGCCACUUUUCUCACCCAAAUUGUUUUCAACCUACAUCAAUACUUACAUACAUAUACCAACCAAUUCAAGACAUUAAAACCAAGCCAAUAUUAACAUUAUAUAAGAUAUAGCAUCACAUGUAUUCAAACUUACCUUUUGUAAGACAUAUAUACUUUCUAUAAUUCAAUCUAACCAUACUAAACACAUAUAUAUUAUCCAUACUAUAACCUCAAAUAUAUGUAUAUUCACUAAACAUAUCAUCAUUAGUCAUUCCAAUGGCUAAAUUAAAAAUAACCAUUUGUAACACCCCUAACCCCAAACCGUAGUCAAAACAGGGUUACGGAGCAUUACGAAACCUAUCGGACAAUUUACAUAAAAUACCUAUGUUCAACCAAUCUAAACACAUUUAAAUAUGCUCAAAACUUGCUAAAUUUACACAUUUUAUAUAUUAUCCAAUACUCAAUUCUAAGUACUUAUCAAAUAUUAUCAAAUAAAUCAAAUUCAUACUAAAUUAGUCAAGUUCUAUUAUAUACCAUUACCAAAAUCUAAAUCUACUUAUUUCACUUUUACAUUCACCAUUCAAAAUGACACACAUAAGACACCCUAGGUAUAUGCCAUUAUCAACAAUUAACACGCUUUACCUCGUUGAAUUCGGGAUCGGCCUGGGAUGUUGAUUCGCAUUCUUACUUUAACUUAACCUGCGCACAAAAAUAAACCGUACGCUGAGUAUGGGUAUACUUAGUGGUAUUUCUAUAAUCCGAACACUUAAUAAAAUAAAAUAUAACAAAUACUUAAAAUCAGAUAACAAUCAUAACUAUUCAAUUAUUUAAUUCAUAGAUAUAUUUAUUGUAACUUAUUUUAUUCUUUUCACUUACUAACCUAUAUAGCUUUCCACGAUUUAUUCACAAGUCAUUAAACAAUUAUAAUAUUCACUUUUAUCCAAUCCAGAGCUACAUAAUUCAUUUGUCUCAAUCAUACUUCAGUUUACUGUUUAAUAUCAAUAAACUGUAUUCAACUAUUCACUUUUCAAUCAGUGUUCUAUACAUAUCCAUUUCAAUAACAGUCAUUACCAUUCAUAUCAAAUCAACUUGCUAUCCCAGAUAGCUUUCAUUAUAUAAUACGAUUCGUGUGUUUCAGCCCACAUUUCAAAUCUUCAUUCAGUACCAAUCUGAUCAUUGUUAUAUUUAAUAACCCCUAUUAACAUGACUCGGACUCAGACGGAUACACGGAUCCAACCAAACACACCAGAAUGGCACCCAGUGUCUCAUCGGCCUAGCCGAGUAAAGUGGUACCCAGUACCUCAUCAAAUCUAUCCGAAGAAAUAUAGCGACACCCAGUGUCUCAUCGACUCGAGGUCGAAGUAUCCAUGCACUCUUCCAAUCCUAUGGCAUGCCAACUAUAUCCGACCUAACUCGAUACUGUUAAUAGGGUUUCCAAUUCACUUUCCAGUUUCCAAUCAUUAUACACUUCAACAAUCACAUUUAUUCCCAAUUAAAUAUAACUCAAUUCACUUUUCAAUAACAAAUAUUCAAUUUCACAAUAGUCACUUAUUCAUAUUAAUUUCAUCACAUACUAAAUCAAUAUAUUUCAAUUAUAAAAAAAAACACAAUACAAAUAAUUCACAUCUUAAUUUUUUAUCAUAACAUUUACCCAGAAUUCAAUUAGCAUAAUUGCACAAUAUCACAUUCACACACACAUAUAUAUUUAUAAUAUAUAUAAUUCAAUUCAAUAUUGAUUCAAUAAAUUCAUAACAUACCAAAUCAACCCUCUUCCAUUAACAAACACAAUAAUUCUCACUUUAACAUUCACUAAAGGCAUUGAAUAAAAUAUAACAAUUAAUAACUAGGUUUAGAUUAUAGAAAUACAAACCGUAAUUUCCGAGUUAACUCUCGUCAACUUUGCAUUUUUCCUUUCUUAGCUAAGAUUUCCGAAACAACGCUAGCUACGAAAAUUAAUUAAAUAUUAUAAAUACACUACCAUUCAAUUUUAAUUUCUAUUCAAAUUUUGCUUAAAUUCCAAUUUAGUCCCUAAACCGAGACUAACUUUUAUUCUUCAUAUUUAACUCAAUAUUUUUAUUCAAUUUUCACUUUAGACUUAUUUCAACUCUCUAAUUUCACCAUAGGACCAUAAUUUUGAAAUUUUUUCAAUUUAGUCCCUACCGUUCAAAACUUAUGAAUUACUUUACAAUUCAAUCCUUAUUUCACUUCUAACUUGAAUUUCUAUCAAUUUAGACCUUAAUUCAUCAUUUUAUUCAUCAUGAACAAUAUCUAGAAAUCUAAAAACUUUCAAAAUAUCCUCUUAAUUUCAUCAAAACCUUAUUCCAAAGCUUCCAAAACAUCAAAAUUAAGUAAAAAAAAGGCUAAAUUAACUUACCAAUUAAACUUUCAAACCUUAAAAUCUCAAUUUUUCCUUUUCUCCCUUUCUUUCUUUUCUUUCCUUCCUUUCUCUGUUUCGUUUCAAGCUUUUCUGUUUUUCUAUUCUUUUUCUUCCUUUUAUUUGCUUUGUAUAUAUAUAAUAUAAUAACUUAUUAAAAUAUCUAUUUAAUAAUCAAUAUAUUUAUUACAAUUAUAAUAUUACUUAUAUUUACACAUGUAACAUAUCAUCAUCAUACAUUUGUCAUGUUUUAAUUUAUUUAUUAUAUAAAAAUCUUAAUUAAUAAAUAUCUUUUAUAAUUAAUAAAUAUCUAUUAAUAAUUAAAUACAUAUAUUACAAAUGUAUAUAUUUUUAUUUAUACACUUGUAUCAAAUCAUAUCCACACAUUUGUCUUUAUCUAAUUUAUUCAUCAUAUAAUAUCAAUUUAAUAAUAAUAAAUACAUUAAUAUUUAUUUAAAUAAUAAACAAAUACAUACAUGUAUUAUAAAUGUAUGUAUAAUAUUUAUUACAUUUGUACCAAAUCAUUUUUAUACACUUGUCUUUUAUUUAUUUAUUUUAUUAAUUUCAUAUAAAAAUCUAUUUAAAUAGAAAGCAAUUAAAUAAAAUAUACUACAAUGGUACAAAUAUAUGUAUUACACUUAUAUAUUUUAUUUACCAUACAUUUGUCUUUAUUUAAUAUAUUUCAUAAUAUAAUAUCAAUUUAAUAAUAACAAUAACAUUAAUAUUUACUUAAAUAAUAAGUAAAUACAUACAUAUAUUACAAAUGUAUGUAUAGUAUUUAUUACACAUGUAUUUUAUUUUUAUCACACACUUGUCACAAUUUAAUUUAUUUAUCAUAUAAAUAUCUUAUAAUAUAAUUAUAAUAACUUAAUUUAAUAUCAUAUAUUACUAAUAAAUAUAUAUAUUAUAAUUAAAAUCUAAGUAAAAGUUUUAGAUUUUUACUUUAUAUGCCGCCUCACUUAUGCUAAAUGGCAUAAUUGCCAUUUUGGUCUUUUUUAUUUUCUUUUAAUCUAUAAUUAAACUUUCACACUUUAUUCAAUUUAAUCCUUUUAUCCAAUUAUCCUUAAUUAAGCUAAAUUUACUUAAUUAAACUCUAAUUAACCACUCAAUUAACUUUGUAAAUAUUUUUGAUAAAUAUUUACUGAUCUAUUUUUCAGCAACGGAGACCCGAAAAUACACUUUUCCGAUAACCGUAAAAUUCGGGUCAUUACACCAUUUAUAUGCUAACAUUGGCCAAGUUAGCCUAUACAUGUCAUUAUACCAAAAUAAGUUUUCUAUUUAUACCAAAACGAGCUGAAGGAUAGCGUGAUGGUGCUCUGACUGAUUCUAACCUUUACGAGCUUUUGAGCACUAUAAAACAGAGAAAAGAAAACUGAGUAAGCAUUUCAAAUGCUUAGUAAGUUCAAAACUGCAUAAGAUUUCAAAUGCUUAGUAAGUUCGUAUAACAGGAAAUUAACUAACCAAUCAUAUUCAUUUAAAGUAAGCAUACCAACAUGCAUCCAAAACUAUGUGACCAAUUGCCUAGACACAUGUUCUCAUCAAACAAGUUUGUCAUGAAAUUUACAUGAUUAUCAUGAAAAUAGAGAUGAGCUCAUCAUACAUCUAUUUCCAGGUAUUUCAGGGAUUUUCAAGAUAUAAUUCAUUUAAUUCUCAUAUUUUUUCAUAUCAAAAGUUUUUUCUGUUGGAUUAUUGAAAUAUAGAUGGAUACCCAGGUAGUACAUACAGGGUGUAUAUAUCAUUGAUCUGUUAACUCUUAUAUAGGGGUACUCUUUAGAGUACAUAAUCGGGAAUCACACUCUCGAGCUUUAUCACAGGAAGCUCACAAAGAGCCGUUUCAGAAAAAUCACAAAGAGCUUAUCGGGAAGCUUAUUCGGGCUAUAUAACGGGAAGCUUAUAGGAGCCAUAAUCGGGAAGUUCACAAAGAACCAUAUCGGGAAGCUCACAAAGCGUCAUGUAACGGAAAACUUCAGAUAGCCAUAUAUCAAGAAGUUCAAGUGAGCACUAUCGAGAAGCUCACAAAGAGCUAAUUUAAUAGGAAGCUCAUGAAGAGCAUAUAAUCGGGAUGUUCAUAAGAGCUAAGGUGUGUCCACAACAAAUGUAGGAUUACAACCUAUCGGGAUACUUCGAAGUGCUGUAACGAAAAGCUCGCAAGAACCAUAUACGGGAAGCUCGAGAGGCUAAUACGGGAUGCUGUUUUGAGCUAUGGUGUGUCUGCAACAUAUGCAAGACCACAACCAAUACGGGAAACUUGUAUCCAUCGAUUUUCUUUUAUUCAAACGGAAUUUAACACUUAUCGGGUAGUAUUGGAUUUUCAAUCAAUUUCAUAAACAUGACAAUUACAAAAUUCACAUAUACAAUAUAUAAUUCAAAUAUUUAAAUGUACACAAUUUAGUUACACGAACUUACCUCGAUAAACGUUUGUAUACAAGGAUCUACUAAUCGAAUACUUUUUGUUUUCCUCGAUUUAACUCAGUAUUAAGUCUUUCUAGAUCUAUGUAAAUUAAUUUAACAUCAAUUUAAUCCAUUUCAUACUCAAUUUAAUACAAUUCACAUCCUAGGAAAAAUUACUAUUUUUCCCCUAUACUUUCUAUAAAUGACGAUUUCGUCCUUAGGCUCGGAAAAUGAAAUUUAUGCAAUUUAAUCCUUAUUCCAAGCCUCGUCGAUUUUUACAUAUAACAUUUACAGCACAUAUAUUUCAUAAAAAUUAGAAAUUUUCCAUGAAUUUUAUAUCUUUACAAUUUAGUCCCUAAAUCACAAUUUCAUGAAAACUCACUUUACAAAAGUUGUUUAUCUAUCAAUAACCUUUCAUUUUCUACCAUAAAGUUCAAAUUUUCAACAUAUUCAUCCAUGGAAAAAUUUCAAUACUUUAAUAUCUUUUCAAAUUGAUCCCCAAAAUAGAUAGAUUAUGUUAUUCCGAUUUCAAAAAUAAAAAAAAUUACUAAAAAUGGGACAUGAUUACUUACCUAAUUAAGCUUGCUUGAUUUUAUUUCUCUUUCCUAGGGUUUCUAUAGAAAAUUUGGGGAAGAUGAUGAGAUAAGAUGAUAUUAGGCUAUUAUCAUCUUUAUUUAUUCCAAAUUCCAAUUUAGUUCUUUUAUUUUUUUAAUUUUCCAUGGAUGAUUCAUAAUAAAUAUCUACUAACUCCAUUUAAUGGUCUAAUCACCAUAUAAGGAUCUCAAGUUUUGAAUUCCAUAGCUAUUUGAUACUUAUAGCUACUAGAACUCAACUUUUGCAUUUUAUGCAAUUUGGUCCUUUCUAUAAUUAAAUUUGAAAUUGGUAAAAUUUUCUUAUCAAAAUUUUUAUACGUAUUUCCUAUCAUGAUGCAGACCAUGCAAUAAUUUUAAGAUAAGUUUUCUUUCUAACUCGGAUUUGUGGUCCCGAAACCACUAUUACGAUUUCACUGAAAAAUGGCUGUUACAGGUACUUUUUCAAUGUUAAGGCUCCAUUUAUUUCAUUGAAAACUACUUUCGGAAAAUGAUUUUUGAAAAACAACUUACUUUUCUGGAGCAGCUAAUAUUUUCUAGUGUUUAGAUGAAUUUGUGUAAAAUAUUUUCUUUUGUUUGGCAAGUUCAUUAAAAAUAUUUCAUAAAAGUUAUUUUUAAUUAAACAAAUAUACAUUUGAGAUUUUCUUUCUUAUCUUUUCAUUGUUUAAGUGAGUUUAUUUUAUAUCUAUAAUUUUAUAUUUUACAUUGUUUUUACACAUAUUAAAAAUAUUUUGUUAAAUUUAGAUUCAUUACAACGUCAUUUUUUUAUUUACAUGACUAUCAAGUGAGUAUUUUUUAUUUAAAAAUGUGACAUUAAUAAAAUUGGCAAAAAAAAAAAUAUCAAUGUCAACAAUUGGACUUGAUUUUUAAAUCUGAACAGUAGAAGGACUAAAUUCUUGAAAAUAAAAGUACAGAGACUAAAUUGUAAAUUUGUGAAGAGUACAUGAACUUGUAUGACACAUUUUAACCUUUAUACUACAAAAUAUUUAUUAUUAAUAUAUUUAUAAUUAUAAUAAAUAUUUAUUAUUAAAAUAUUAAUAUUGAUAUUUUCAAUAAUAUGUGAAUAAUAUUAUUUAAAAUUAUUAUUCUUAAAAUUUAUUAUUAAAAUAAUAAAUUAUAUUAAUUAUAUUAAUAAUUUAUUAUUUGACUAAAUAUAAAUAAUUAAAUAUGUAUGGUUAAUAAUAUUGAAAAAUAUAAUAUUUUAUAUUAAUAUUUUAAAUAUUUUUAAAAAUAAAAAUAAAAUUUAUUAUCAAUAUAAUAAUAUUAAACUUGAUUUAAGUUAAUUUUUAUACAAAAAUAAAAUUAUUUACGGAGGAGCUCUUUUCCUGACUUACCAUUUUCGAGAGGGCAAGUCAUUUUAUAAGAAAAAAUGUUUAUUUUACAUUGAUCUAUAAGUCAUUUUCCGUUGACUAAACUGUUUUCUGUGAAACAAGCAUAUGAAAAUGCAUAAAAUAUUUUCCGUAAAACAUUUUACAUGUAAUCAAACGGGCUUUAAAAUUCAAAUAUAAUACAACUAAUUAAAAUUUUUAAAAAAAUUUAUGUUAACAUGUUUGAUUCACUUAAGAAUGUGGUGUUAAUUUUUUAAACUACGUUCAUUAAAUAUAUUAAAAUUUUAUUAAUUUUAGUAUUUCCAGUGAUAUUUAUUAUUAUGUAAAUGAAGAACAUGCAAAAUACAUUACAGAAAAAUGUCAAAAGUGAGUAAAUUUGCAUGAAAUAUGGCUACCCGAGCUAUUAAUGCGUGUUCUUAAUAGCACUCCUAUUUAUCCAAUGAAAGGGUAUAUGCCAAAAGUGGGAUUUUAAUAUAUUACAAUAAGCAACUAAAACUCCAACCUUUGAAAGAUUAAGAAGGGAAGAAGCAAGAGCGUUAAUGAUUUCUAAACAUUUUGUCUCUACCAUAACAUUAUUGAUGCCAUCAUCCAUAAGCUAAGAGAGUGUCUCUCGAAUCAAUAAUAUGUGGUUCCAAUAUAGCAAGUAAAUGACCUGAUAAAGCACGUAUAAAAUUGCCACGAUCAUCGCGUAAUAUAGAAGCAAAAAUUGGUGGCCUGAUUAGCCUCAAAGGUUGCGGUAUCAACAUUACAUUUCACCCGUCCUGAGAUUAGUUUAGACUAGAUAGCAGCGGUAACAUCUUGGUGAUUAGGACUGAGACUGUACGCGACCAAAAGCCACCUGUGAAACUUGCCAAUCUUGUAAGAACUGAUUUGAAAAAGAAAUAAUAUGUGACGGGGGGGCAUCAGUAGCUUUCUAACAAAAAAUUAUGAAAAUACCAGAGGCUCUAAAACAUGACUGCUGCUUGUAAAAAAAGAACAUCAUUAGCAAAUGAUAAUAAGGCAAGCAACCAAUUAUAAAGAGAUUGAUUUGAAACAACUAGCCCAGCAGCUAAACCACACUUCCUUAGCCUUUGGACAGCUGAGUGUAACAUAAUCCAAAUCUUAAAUACCACUACAUUGGGAACAGUUUAGGUUUACAUUACAACCCUUAUCAGCUAGCCGAUGGCAGCAUGGAACAAAACUUCUUACGAGUCUCCAAACAAAGUCUUCAACCUUGGGAGCUAGGCUUGAAUUCCACAGUUUCGUCCAAGGUCCUUCAAUCGCAAAGUCAUGCAGAUCGGUGUACGUACUUAGUGCAGUUAUGUAAGCAGACUUGACGCUAUCUAGGUGCAUCUCAAAAAUGGCCUUACGAAAUUCAACAAGAUGAAAAGGAGUAGUUCGAAAAGCAUUAUCCUGAUCUCGAACCAUAGCUUGCGUACCAUCCAAGGCAUCGAAAUUCAUCACAGUUUAUUGAGGGAAAAUAUUAUUAAAAUAAUCAACAACAAUGUUACCCAUACCGACCUCAUCUAAACAAGGCCGCUCCUGCGUAUCAAGCAAAUAUUGGGAUGUGAUCUGCUCUUCGUUUUAAAGCUUGACCAUGGAAAUACUUUGAUUUUGCCUCUCCGUAACUCAUCCAAAAAACUUUAGAUCUCCAUCGCCAAUACACUGCCUUUUGCGCAACAAGAUUAUUGAUCGCGUUUCUUAAAACUAUCAUUGAAGUAUCAGUAACCCCACAAAAUUGAGCCUCCUCAAUUUUUCGCUUAGCCUCUUUCAGUCGAGAUGCAAAAUUACCACCCAAAGAAAACUACCAGAUCACAAGUCAAGAACUACAUGAUUUUAGUUUGUCGAGAGCGUCAUGCGACGGGCAAGCAUGCCCCCCCUCUUGCACGACAUCAAAGAAGCCAUCGUCAGCGAGCCAAUGAUUUUUGAACUUGAAACGUCUGGGUUUUUGUGAGGGGAAAUAUGAAGCAGAUACCAACUUUAACGGGUUAUGGUCGGAGGUAUCACUCACCAAGUUAUCGAGUUUAUCAUAAGGAAAAACAUCUACCCACUGUUGAUUGAUAAAAGCACAAUCAAGCUUCUCCAUGACAAACGCAUUGGACCCCCUCUCUUUUUCCAAGUAUAGCUAAAUCCAAUAAAAGGCAACUCCAUAAGAUGGCAACCAGCUACACAUUAUCGAAAACCUUCUAUCAAAGAAACUAGGUGACACCACCAUAUUUAUCGUUUGGAGACUUAAGGUUAUUGAAGUCACUGAUGCAAACCCUUGGAAGCUCAUGUAACCAAGAAAGUGAUUAUAGAAGUGCUGAACUAGCUUGCUUCCAACUAGCUUGAGGAUGUCCUAAUAAAAAAAAAAAAGUUUAAGUACCACUUAAAUUCACCAUUUAGAAUCAAUAUCUUCUUUCAUAAUGAAAGUACCAAUUGUGAAAAAAAAAAUUUAGGCAUCAAUUUGGGAAAAAAGUUCAAGUAUCAACUUGCUUCUAAUUAAAAAGUAAUUUAGGUACUGCUCAUGACAAAGUACUAAAGUAAUUAAAAAGUAGCCGGGGGAGGGGGGCAUGGGCCCCGGCCCCCCUAAAAUGGAAAAUUUCAUUUUAGGUUGUUAAAUUUUUUUAAAAAUUUUAAAUUAGUAAAGAUAAAAUUGCACUUUGGUCCCCCCUAAAAUUAUAAAAUUCAAUUUAAUCCUUUACAAAUUAUAGAAAUAUAAACUAUAAAAAAUUAAAAUUUCAUCCGGCCCCCUAAAAAAAUUUUCUGGCUUCGCCCCUGAGAAUUAAUGAUGAGUUUUCAUCAUAAAAUAUUCCACUUAAUUAAGGGUAAAGUAUUACAGAGUUAUUUAGACAAAAGAAAUUUACUAAGGGGUAGAUUGUAGUGUGUGAGGCAUGAGGUAUAUUCGAUUUCUUAAAACAAAAUAUUCUGUUUUCUCAAAUAAAAUAAAAAUAUAGCAUAAUUUAUUACUUAUUAGUAAAGAUAAUUAGGUUUGGUUGGAAAGGAAGGGUGAAAUUGAUAUAAAGCCCAAUCCUUAGUAGAAAGCUUCGGUCCCCAGAGGCAGGCCUUUAGCUCGUUACAAUGUGGGAGAAUCAGAUCAGACACCAUAAUCAGUCCACUACAAAGUUACUUUUCCAUCCAGGUUCUUCAACUUUCUCAAACACUAAUCUCUGUAGAUCAUCUACUUCCUUUUUUUUUCUUACAAAUUUUAAAUUGAGUGAGAGGAUGAUUUUGCAUAGAUGCUCAUGCCAGUUUUUUCGUUUUUGCAACAUUAAAAUAUCAUUUCGCUACACACUCGAGUCACAAGAAGAAACAAGCAUAAACAUACAAAGAUUCACAAGACCAAGGCCGACAAUCAAUCCAUCCGGCAAGACAAAGCAAAGCAAACCAAGACAAAGCCCAAGAUCGAUACAUAGAAAAAACAAGACGAAUCAAACAUUAAGAGGCAAAAUGGGGGCCAACCCCUGAACUCUUUUAAGGCAGAAUGAUUAUACAAGUUUUCCAGGACCGUGUGGACUGCAAUCAAAGCUUGAAGUGACGUUGUUUUGCAGGAUCAGCCAUCAUUGACUCACUGAUGCUUUGACAGUGUUUUGAUAUACUCAUCCAAUAGGUGAAACACCAUGUAUAACACCGUGAAGAAAAUAAUGGAUCAAUAAAACUGGAUGUUCCUUUCCAAAUAAGAACAAUUGAGCUCAUACAUUGCUAUGGAGGACGAAGAGCCAAUGUGAAGGCAAACGACAUAACAGUGUGGGUAGAUGCUGCCUCCUAACUCAGUAACAACGAUGAAUGAUAAUUUCGGAGUUAUUUUUAAUAUAGUUUUUAUAAUAUUUUAAGAGCUAAUUUUAGCAUUUAAAUUAGUUUUUAUUGUAUUUUAUAAUUUUUUAAAUUAAUUAUAUUUUAUUUAAAUUUUGUUUGUUUUUUUUUAUUUUUAGGGUUAGUUCGGGUUUACUUGUUCUUUUUCUUUCUAUAUGGUGAAUUUCGGAUGAAGAAUAGAAGACUUAGAGCAUAGAAUAAAAAGUGGUAAAGUGAAGUCUUCUGUUCCACCAGAUUUAAUUCAGUUGCGGACUUCUAGUAGAGUAAUGAUUAAAAACCCUAAAAGCAUCGAUGAUGAGAUUUAAGAAAAAAAGAGGAAAAUGUGCAAGGAAUCACUUGGAGGCUAAAGAACAACUUCAAACUUGCAAAGAUAAUAAGAAAAAGAUAUCGAAAAAGCUUGGUAUUAAUUCCUUAACUAUUUUCUCUUUAGAUUAUUUGUUUUUACUUUUUAUUGAUGCAAGUUUAUUUUGAAUUUAUUUUGUGUUGUUUUCUCAACUUAAUAUCAACUAAACUCUUGCUUUGCAAGAAUUGCUUCAAAUUUCCAGUAUAAUCAUUUUGCUUGAUUUUAUGGUCAUGAGGCUUGGAGGGAACCCACAUGUUUGUCGACAGAUUUUUGUGACAAAUCUUUUUAUUCUUCAAUGACAACAACCACAUAAUCAAAUUUGUGUGUUAGUGACCGCAAAAAUUUUUCCAUUACUCUUACGUCAUCAAGUGUUUCUCCAUUCCUUUUCAUUUCAUUUACCAUUGUUUUCACUUGGGUGACAUAAUCAUCAACACUUUUUGAAACUUUCAUUUUCAAUGUCUCAAAUUCAGCUUUAAGAGUUUGUAAACGUACCUUUUUGGCCUUUUCGGCUCCUUGAAGUGAUUUUUGCAAAAUUCCCCAUGCUUCCUUUGACGUCUUGCAUCUAAAAUUUUUUUAAAGGUUACUUUAUCAACACCUUGAAAAAUAAAGAACAAUACUCUCUUAUCCUUUUUACGAACUACUUUCAAUAUUCUUUUUUCUUCGUUUGUCAAAGCCGCUUCAGCAGCUGCAUUUUCGGGCUCAUAUCCCUCUUCGACAACAUCCCGGCAAUCUUGAGAACCAAGCAAAACCUUCAUUUGGAUGCUCCAUUUGUCUUUGUUAAUUUCGAGACCUGCAGUUGAAUCAUGUUUGCCAUUAUGACGUCAACACGAACCUAACUCGAAUAAAAGUUGUUGGAAAUAUAAUAAACACUUAAAAUCAAAGUAAUUUUAUUACAUACAAAUAUUACACAAUACAAAUACAAACUUUUCUUUCUCUUUAUACUAGUUGUUGCUAGAUUUCUAUCUCUCACACUUUUUUUUCUCACUUUCAAGACACACAUUAAUAUACAAAAUAAAUAAAUAUAUAUAUAUAAACAUAGUAUACCGCUUUAAUGAUUAUUUAUCCUUUAAGAAUAUCAUCAAACUUCCAGUAAGCAUGUAUUGAUUAUGUUCAUCCUUUGUGAGUUGUAGGUCACUUUGCAAUCAUUUUCAAAGCCACAUUUUGUAAAGUUGCUGGCCAAUUUGAAUAGCAACUCUUGGCUUCAAUUUUCUGUAACUUUGAAAGUUGGUUUGGCUUCAACAAUUUGUACAAGUGGCUUACAGUACCGGAAUGUUAUUAUGCAUUGCUUGAAAGUCUAGAAAAAAAACUUUGGAAAACUCUUUUUCCAUGGACCAAGCGAUCGCAAUAAUAUGCUAGCUCCUUUUGCAGAUUGGUUACAAAACCUGAUACAUACUGUUCUAGUACCUGAUAUCAUUGCCAUAAAUUAUUAUAUGAUUUCUCUCACUCGCUAUGCAUCUUCUCUAAUGUCUUCUGUUUUUCCAACCAUGUCUUGUGGUAUAACACGAUGAAAUCGUACUCGCUACGGAUGUGUGCAAUCAAAAUCAACAUUAGAAUCCUAGGACUCACUCUUACCAUAGGUAAUAUAAAGUUGGAUAUCAUAUCUGAAUCCAAUUUCAGAUGAUUGUCUGACAUGCUUGUAAAAACUCAUUUAUUUUACCAUCCGUAAUACAAUGUCGAAUAAAGGUCAGAAUGGGAAUCGAGGUUGUUAAUCAUGACGCAUAUUUACAACAACACAUGUAUGUGGAGUGGUAAAUUUCUGAUUGUCCAGAACUUUGACUUCCUCCUCAUAGAUGCCAUGAUUUUCCAUAGAUAUCUUGUUCCAAGCAUUGCACACUUUGCCUCAUACUUCUCGGGUUAAGAUUUUGUAAUGUGAAAGUUUACCCCAUGCUUUAUGCUAUAUCGCUUCAUUGCAGCAAUCAAAGUGUGUUUGGAGGAAACUCCAUCCUAACCUUUAAGUUGCCAAAAUUUAUUGACGAACUCUAUCCCAACCUCCUGUAGGCACGUUUUCAUUUUUUUCUCACAAAAUGACCUAUAUUAAUAAAUAUAAAAAACCUAAUUUCUUAAAUUUUAUAAAUAAAAAAAACCGACAUAUAUCCUUAAUUUUAACAGGGCACAAGUACAUGACGUCCCCAAUAUCCUUCCUUUUCUUUAUGGUAGACUUUCACAGCAGACCGUGAGACGUAUGCAUCCGCACCAAAUGGAGUUUUCCUUACAAUAAUCACUUUGUAAAUCAUCAUACUGAUCCUUAUCGAAUUUCUCUUUAUUCUUCGUUGUAAUGGCAGGUUGUAAAUCUAACAUCCACAGCCCAAAAGUAAUUCUGAAAAGGAAAAAAAACAACUCAAAAACUAAUAAUAUCCGCUACCACCAAAGGGGACAUUCCUUUAAGACCAAGUGAUAAUCCAUCACUGACCAGGCCAACUUACUUCAUAACACGUGCCAAUUGUAAUUUUCAGCGCCAACAACCCCUGCAGUCCUUUCGCUUCAUCAUUGGUCAAAACUUAGAAGUCUGACAAAACUUGAAGUAAGAUGAUACCCACCAUUGAAAUUUGAAUCCUUACAAUUUAGAACUGAGCAGAAGCAGAACAAGAAUCGAUGCAGACCCCUUAGAUUCCUUUUUCCAGUUUCAAUACUGUUCUAAUUCUAAAAACACCCACUUUCAGGUAUCCUCCCCUCUCCUGUCUUUCACAAUCACCAAAGCCAGCUGCAACACCAUCAAAAUGCCUAAUCCAUCCUUCAAUUCUAGAAAACGCAUUUCUAUACACGCUUUACCAAUCUUUGUCAGCCUGUUUUUCUCCGCCAUUCCCCAUUCUGCCCUCAAAAUACCACCCCCUUUGCCCAUUUUACCCCUUCCUUCGGCUUCUCAGCUUCAAUGGCAACUCUCUUCCAUGGCACUCUUUCUUCACUUUGGACCCAACACCUUCACUGACUCAGAGUGGGGAACAGGCCAUGCCAGCCCCUCUGUGUUCAACCCCACCCUACUAAAUGCUUCUCAGUGGGUACAUGUAGCCAAGGAAGCUGGGUUUUCAAGGGUGAUCCUUACUGCCAAGCAUCAUGAUGGCUUCUGCUUGUGGCCAAGUGAAUACACGGAUUAUUCCGUGAAGGCGAGUCCGUGGAGAGAUGGGAAGGGCGAUGUUGUUGCUGAGUUGGCUGCGGGAGCUAAGGAAGCUGGUAUUGCUUUGGGGCUUUAUCUGUCUCCAUGGGAUAGGCAUGAAAGUUGCUAUGGGAAGACCCUGGAAUACAAUGAAUUCUAUAUCGGACAGAUGACUGAGCUGUUGACUAGGUAAUUCAUUGUUUCGUUCGCCCUUUUUGAGUUUUCUCUUGUUUGCUAUCUUUAUUUUGUUUAUAAAUUUUGAUAUGUUUUUCUCAUUUAUGUUCUUGUUGGUAUUGUUCAUUUCUGAUUUAGUACUUAGUUAAUCUUUUAUUUUAUGCAUUGGCUGUCUCUUUGGGUCUUUGGUUUUUUUUUUUUUUGAAGGAAUUUAUCCUCUGAAUUUGUUCGUUGAUUUAUGUUCAUAGGAACUGUGUUUGCUUAUGCAACUGAGUGGUUUUGUAAUUGUUGUAUUGCCUUCUCUUUGAGCUUCUUUGCUUGAACUGUAUUGAUUUUGAUAAUUUCCUGUUGAUUUAGGCACUCCAUUGAUUAUGGUAUUGUGUGACUCCUUUCUUCAUAGUUUUGUUCCAUUUAGGUUUUCUGAAUUGGGAAGUGCAGAGUGUUAAAUUUCCCUUUUCAAAUUUAAGCAGAUAUGGAGAUAUCAAGGAAGUAUGGUUGGAUGGUGCCAAAGGGGAGGGGGAAAAGGAUAUGGAGUAUUACUUCGAUGCUUGGUUUAGUCUCAUUCAUCAGCUCCAACCAGAUGCCGUCAUCUUUUCUGAUGCAGGUCCCGACACAAGGUGGAUCGGGGAUGAGGCUGGUGUUGCUGGUUCUACUUGUUGGUCUCUUUUCAAUCGAAGUAAUGCCGUAAUUGGUGGAACCAAUCCUCAGUAAGCAUCUAUUCCUACUUUUUAAUUUAGGCCUUUUUGCUCAAAAUUACCUGAUGAUUAUGCCGUUGCUUACAGCAUAUUCUCCAUGAAAUCUAUGAAGUUAGGACAUGCUUGCUUUGAACCAUCAACAAACCAUUUUCUUUUGUGCUUUUUGGAUUUGGAACCAAACUAGUACCCAUAGUGUUAUAACAUUAUUUAUGAAUUAUCUAACAGAUACUCCCAAGGAGGAGACCCUCAUGGUCAUGACUGGGUACCUGCCGAGUGUGAUGUCUCAAUCAGGCGGGGUUGGUUUUGGCAUGCAUCUCAAGUGCCAAAGUCAGCAUUGGAACUUCUUGAUAUAUACUACAAAUCAGCUGGUCGUAAUUGUCUUUUGUUGCUAAAUGUGCCCCCAAAUUCUUCCGGUCUUAUUUCAGAUGAAGAUAUACAAGCACUCCAAGAAUUCAAGGAACUUCGGAGGUCUAUAUUCUCAAAUAAUUUGGCCGAGAAAGGUCUCCUAACUGCUAGCAGUAUUCGAGGAGGCAAUGAUAAUUAUCAGUUCAGUCCAUAUAAUGUCUUUGAAGAAAGUAUUUACACCUACUGGGCUCCUGAAGAGGAUCAACGUGAUUGGGUCUUAUAUUUAGACCUUCAAGAAUCAGUAUCUUUUAACGUUUUGCAAGUUCAAGAGCCGAUUCACAUGGGACAACGCAUCAUCAAGUUCCAUCUUGAGAUCCUGAGUGGAGGUAGAUGGAAGAAUGUGAUUAGUGGCACAACAGUGGGAUACAAAAGGUUGCUGCGAUUUCCAACUGUUCAAUCUCAGUACUUGAAGCUUGUCAUUGACAUGUCUCGAGCUGAUCCUCUUAUUUCUUAUAUGGGGCUUCAUAUGGAUCGAUUUUCCAUUCUGAGCCAUGCAUCUAAUACAACCUCACAGAUAUAUGUUAAUGGUAGUCAAGUCCUUAGGCAAGUUCCAAACAAACAUUCCCAAACUGCCACAGUUUAGUACAUGUAAUUUCAAGCUGCAAUUAUUGUACUGGUGAGUGUUAAAAACUCUUUCUAAAAUUUAUUGUUACAUAACUGGGGGCAGCUUCAAAUGCCUAAUGUACAAAUAAGUUGAUAGUAUUGCAUGUGUGCGUGAUUAUUAAUUUGAUCACCCUUUAUUCUUAUAGGCAAGAUAGUCUCUUGAGCGUCGAAUCUCGACCAUUAUGAUGAACUAAAUUAUAGCUGCAAGGGUCUGUUACUACAUUUCUAGAAGGUGAAUGAAACUGUCAGACCAUCAUAGAAACAUUGUACUAGUCAUCUAGAAACAAAUCUGUUUCUGGUGCUUCAUAAUCGAGUUUUGGGAUUUUUAGCUCAUUAAGGGAUAAUUACAUUGAAAGGCUUUCCUUUUUUUGUCUUCUUAGAUAGCAAUGUGUAUAAAUAAAAGGGGAAUGAAAAAGAGUUGGAUCCAUUUGCUUAACCACUGUAUAAGACGCAAAGGGGGUACACUAUUGAUAACAAUGAAGCUUUAGAAAAUCUCAAUUUAUGUUCAGAAUGUGCAUGAGCAAAUUGUGCCACAACAAGUGGGGUUAAUUUAUUGGGGAGCAAGUCUCUCUGCUGUCUUGGAUGAUGCUAGCUUUCCCUGCAUCCAGUUCUGCAGCAUUUGUAAUGAAGCUUUUGGUUGAUCCAUUGGAACCAUGUGACCGGCAUUAUGUACCUGCAUUUUUGCAUUUUGUUUUUUGGUUUUAAAUGUGAACAAUUGAUAAGCAUAAAAAAUGGAAAAAGAAGCAUGCAGUUGCAUUGUGUUUGAACCUUAAGGAAAGCGAGAGGGCCAUGGCUUUUCAGUUGUCCAGCUUCUACACCAUCAACCAUAAAUGAAACUGUGGGAGCUGCCCCAAACUCUUUCUGUCCUGACCAUUUCAUGGCAUGAACCCAGUUUGAAUUUCCUGCCUCAAGUGAAAAAGUCACAUUAGUAUAGCAGAGUGAAUAAUCUAUAACAUUUCUUCAAAAUCUCUUUUUCAGUUAACAAAAUCAAGAAGAGUUGAAGGGUCUCACCGAGCCAGUUGCAUAUGAGAUCAUACUCUCCAGCAUAUAUAAGCACCUUUAUACCAUCCUCUAGAAGAGCAGGAAUGCCAACUUCUAAGUUCCUCAUCCAGUCUGUAAUCAUGGCAUCGUAUACUUCGGUGCUGCAUGACACAAAGUCAAUGUUACCGACCCCUAAGGCAUCCCGAACUGUUUUCUGAUUGAGGAACGUCUCCACUGCCGAGAAAUCGUAGCACAAUUCUCCUUCGCAUUCCUUUCUAAUAUCAUAGUACUGUGCAUUAAAGAUGCCAGAGUUCAGAAUCAUGAUUUCUAUUUUUGCUUCCUUCUGAAUAGAAAUCACUUUUGUAAUUAUAUAAUGAUAGAUAUUGGGCUUAUCUUACAUUUAUAUUACCAGCGAUGCUCAGAAUCUGAUCAAAUAAAGUGUUGCAGGUAUCAAAAGAAUCCACACAAGCAUCUCCACCUUUAGAGCCUGCAAUGGUAGUUCAACGUUAUCAAUAAAUCACAAAAGAAACUGUACAGAUUUUGAUUUUAAUCUUUUACAGCUGAGAGGAAGCAGUUACCACAUCUUUUGAUUGCUUGCACGCAUGAAGGGACCAACUUUUUGAUGUCGACAUAAUCAGAUUGGGUAAUUAUACUUGUGUUCAAAGCAUAAUCUGGGUAUGCUUGAUACUGGAUUUCAGGAUCUGUUAGUCCAUUCCCGAUUGCAAAACCCUGUUCGAAUAUUAGAGUUCAAUCUUAACCCGAAACAUCAAAAUGAAAAGUCCAUAUUCAAAUGGUAUAAAGGGAGAUGAAGAAAUACGUACCUUGAGAUUAACAUGAAUUCCCUCUUUUGCCUUGUUUCCCUGGUGAACUCGAACAGCGAAAGCUGGAAUGUAGUGCCCGGCAUAAGAUUCUCCGGUUAUGUAGAAGUCAUUCUCAACAUACUCAGGAUGAUGCUUGAAAAAUUCCUGAAAGUACAGAAGACAGUUAAGUCAAUUUUUGAAUGCUUCUGUUGUAUGGAAGGAAUGUUAGAACACAACAAACCUGCAAGAAGUCAUACAAAUCGUUGCUGACACCAGUUUCAUUAUGGCGAAGGUCGUUUUCGUCUGAAGUAUAACUGAAACCGGUUCCAGUGGGCUGAUCUACAAACAAAAUGUUCGAUGCCUGCCAACGGACAAUAAAAUGUGGAUGGAUAAGCAGUAAGGAAUUAAGUGUAUCAGUGAAAAUUUUGGAAUUCUAUCAGAUACCUUGUCCCAACCAUAGUCAUUCCAUACAAGCGACAAGUUUUUGGUAAGAUGGAAAGGACCAUUUUCAUAAAACAAUGCCAAUUCACUGCUGCACCCUGGACCUCCAGUCAACCAAAUCACUACAGGGUCUUUCUUGCUGUUCCGUGAUUCGAAGAAAAGGUAAAACAUCCUGCGAAAAUUACAUAAGGAGAUAAAGAAUCCACAAUCAGUAUUAUUGUCAGCAUUAAAGUAUAUUACAGCUCUGAAUCAUACCUAGAAAACUAGACAAACCACUGCAUGAUUUGGACUAGGCCUACAAAAUAAACUAGGUCUGGCACUAAGGUUUAUAUAAUAGCAUGUUCUUCAUAUAGCAGAUAAGCAUUAAAUUCUGCUUUACAUCAUCAGGGAUUUUGGAAUCUGUAUUGGCUCUUAUGUUACUUGGAAAUAUAUUCAAUAUUCACUGCACAUACAAUCUGAUUCUAAAUUUAUAUCAUUUGACAUAGCAUGUAUACAAGAUUUAGAACUCAUGGCUGACCUUGCAGAUACAGCAUGUGGAAGUUUAUAGUACCCAGCAUGGUGACCAAACUCCUGAAUGGAAGGCCCAGGUUCCCCAAGCACUGGGAACCUGAAUUGCUUUUCAACAAUCUUGGAUGUCUCAACUGCAGGGGCAUUGUCACCAGCAUUAAUAGCAUCUUUAGGGAACAAAUUAAGUCCUCUUAUGAGCUUUUCAGCCUGUAACUUUGCCUGGCUAGAACUUGGAGAUUGGUCCUUCCAAUGGGAAAUAGGCUUAGCCGAGGAAACAGAAAAAAGCACAAAAAGAGAAAGCAAACAGAGAUUUUGACAGAAAGUAGAGGCCAUUUUUGUGGGGUUUAUCUUGGUCGAUGAAUGCAAGGUCCUGUUUGAUUUGUAUAGAGUUUGAUCAUAAAGCCCCCACUUUGAAUAGAGACAAAGUCCAAAUACAAAGCAAAAAAAGAAGGAAAAAAGAAAAUUAACGGUCACCACUUGGCACCGGCUUUUCCCAUCUAACCUGCCGUGUGAAAACUACUGAUAAACAUUGAACCCUCGACUCUUUUUUCAUUAAUUUUUUUUUGAAUGCUUAAUUAUCUCCAUUAGUGAUUUAGACAGCUGCAUCAACUUUGCUUUUAAACCCAACUUUAUUAUUUAGAAAAUUAAGUGGAAAUAAAUAUCACUAUUGAAAUUUUUACACAAAUGAAUCUUGCCUCUUUUAAAACAAAAUAAAAUCUUCAACUUGAACUUAAAAGGAAUGUGAAAAUGUCUGUCUCCAUCAUCUUAUUAUUAAAUUUUCUAGAAAAUUAUAUACAAAUAAUUUACAUGACUUGCCUUGUCAUUCAAGGAUCUCCAUUGUUUUUUCAUUUAGGGUUUAUUAUAUAGCAUUCACAUCACAAUAUCUGGAUUAUUCUGUCAUUUAGAGAAAUUUAAUGAAUGAGACAGCUGGUAACAUAUUUGUUUUUGUACAAGAUUCACGUUUUGUUCUUCAAUAUAUAUAUAUAAGAAUUAUUGUUUGAUGAACCUAGUUAUAACAGGCUUUCCUUUUGUCAUUUGUUUUUUUAAUAAUCUUUUUUCCUAUUCAAGAAUAAUAAAAAGAAGGGGGGCUUUGAAGGCAAGGCUAGAAACAAGAUUAAUGUUGCGUACAAGACAUCAAAAACCCACACUCAAAACAUGACAAAACAAUAACUUGACUUCACUCAAUGUUAUAGAAAUUGAAGAAUGAAGUGAAAGGAACAUGGGAUCUUCCUAUAGACAAUACUGUGAUUUCAUCAUUUGAUGCCUGCUAACUGAAAUGCCAUUAGAUGGAUUGGUUCUGUCUACCUUUUGGAUGUCACGCCAAUGUUAGUCUAAUAGAGUAGCUUUGAGUUUCAGCCUUAUUCAUGGACUAAAGAAUUUUACGAGACUAAAUUUUAAAUUUAAUCAGAAUUUAAUAUAAUUACAUAUUAUUAAAAUAUAAAAAAAUUCACAUUUUUCAUACGCAUUUUUCAUAUGAAUAUUAACUUACUUUUUGAGUAAACUAACUUUAGGCAUUGAUAUGAUGAAUUAUUUGGUUGUAGGAAGAUUGAAACCGUCAUUAAAAUCAUCUUUUGGUCAAUAAGAGAUUUAGAAAAAUGUGAUGAAGAUGAUGAGUGUAAAUAUGGAGGGAUAUUCUUAACAUACAUCAUCAAAGAAUGUAAAAUUGAAAAUAUAACCGAAAUCAAAUCAAUAAAAUCAUUAGUAAGAGGUGCUUUUGAUUAAGAGUUAAAUUACGUUUUGUUUUUUUUACUAAAAAAAUUAACAUAUUAGUCAUUGUAUGUUAGAUAAAAAAGCAAUCUGAUCACUUUUAUUAAAAAUUCCACCCAUUAUUAUUAAUAAAAACUGGCGUAACUGACUAAAUAAGUAAAUAAUUACAUAUGAUGUGCUAUGUGUACCUGAUUUUGAGGUAUAAGGACAAUUUUAAAAAUAAAAAUAGAUGAAAUUUUUAACAGAAUGAUCAUUUGGCUCUUUGCUCUAACAAACACUACUAAUUUGCUUAUUUUUUUAUUAUAAAAAUUAAAUGUCAUCAAGUAUAAAAAUACUUAUUUUAAUACAUACACCAUUUUGCCCACUGGUCAGAGCCAAUCAUCUGUCUGGCGCAAUAAACAUUUAAUUUUCUUUUAUCUAUUUAAGAGUGAAACAUGGCCUUUUCAUUUCGAAAAAAAAUUACACUGUAAAUUAGUUUGAAUAUUGAAAUUCCUCAUUAUCGCUAUAUUUUUCAGAAUAUAAAUAAAUUUAUCACUUUACUUUUAUAUUAAACUUUAUUAAAUUUUAAAUUUUAUUAAAAUUUGUCACCAACUUUAUUUUUUAAUUUAAAACUUACCAUUUAAUUUGAUUUUGAUGGUUUAAAAGAAUGGAAAAAAAUAUUAAUAAAAUAUUUUAUUUGAAUAUUUAACAAUAAAUUAAUUUAUAAAAAAAUAAAAAUUAAUAAAUUAACUUGAGGUGUUGUUUUUGUAAUUAUGAGAUUCUCUAUUACAAAAUUUCUUUUGGGUUAGUAUAAUUAGGGGUGAUGGAACAGCCCAGUUUCUGCCUACAUAAUAUUUAAGCGACCUUCUAUUUUUGGGCCCACAAAUAACCCAAUAGUUUUGGGUUGUAUCAUUAACAUCUGAGAGUAGAUGUUCUACUUCCAAAACCGGAUAAUUCCAGGGGUGUAAAAGAUAAUUUACUAUUUUUAAAAGAUUUAAAACUUUUGACAAAUUUGUGGGCUUGUGGAUUGGAUUGGCGAUAAGGAAAAGAGAGGAUGGGAAGGAAGAAAAUUAAUAUACCAGUUAGCCGCCACCUAUCUAGCCGUUUUAAUUGCAUUCUUAAUCGUUGCCCAUUUUAUCAUAUCACUUACUUUCUUCCGGAUUCGAUCCUUGAAAUUAUCAAAUGUUUCAUUGUAUACUUACAAAUGUUAUAAUUAACAUGUCAUACUUACAGUCAAAGUCAUUUUUAAAUCUCUAUAUUUUACACUAAUUCUCUGCUUAAUGUUUGUAUAUUGACGUGUGGUCAAGUAUCAUGCGUGAGCAAUGUAAGGGAAAACUCAAUACUUGUUUUGAACAAGAUAUAUUAUAGAAAUUUCACGUGUUACGCGUACGUAAGUAAAGAAGAUCCAAUACUUGUCUUUUGACAUGUGUCCUUCCUUUUCUUUUUCUUAUUUACUUUAAUUUCUAACAUUAAUUAAUUUUUAUAUUUUUAUAAUAUUAUUAAUUAAUCUAAAUAUUUAAUAUCGUUAAUUUUUUGAUUAAAUUAUUGACGUGAUUUUUAUUUAUAAAAAUGUUAUUCUAACAAAGAAAGUUAUAUUUCCACAUAGUUAGAUUAUGCAUUCUAAAAAUUUCCAUAUCAACUAUUGAAAUUAUUUAUGGUGAUAAUUAUUUGGACUAACUAAUGAAAUUAUAAUAAUAGAGGGAGCAAAAUAGAUAAAAUAAAAAUACACAAAUAAUAAGACAAACAAAUAAUAUAAUAAUUAGAAAUUAUAUACAUGUAAUAAUUUUAAUAAUUUUAUAUUUUAAAAAAAUAAUAUAAUAAUUAUAUAUUUUAAAAAAUAAUUUUAAUAAUUUUAAAAUCAUUUGCUGACGUGACAUAUAAGAAAAUAGUAUCACAUCAACAUUUAAUUAUAUUUGGACCGCCACAUCAACGAUUAAUGCUGACCGUUAGUCAACUAACAGCCACACCAACAUAUCUGUUAAAAAUAGACCAAUUUGACAAAAAAAAAAAGGUUAAAAGUUAAAGUGUUUAAAAAAAAACAUAAAGAGCCAAAGUACCAAACAGUCAAACGGUAAGGGCUAUCUCUAACAUUAUGCCAAUUAAUUAUAAAGAUAAUAAAAAAAUUAAGGAAAUGUAAUGGUAAUAUAAAAUUUUGAGAUAACUAAAUAAUCUUGACUUAUAUAGUGUUAUGGUUAAAAUUUAUCAGAUACCCCGUUUAAUAUAGAUUCAAGUCGUGUCAUCCUUAAUUUCCACUCCUAAUAUUUUAUAAAAAAAUAAAAAAAAAUGAAAAACACAGUCACUUACAUAACAAUUAAUUAAAACUUAAAAUAAUACAAUCAAUAAAAUAAUAAAAUAAUUGUUUUGGGUUUGGAUAACUGAUUAAAGGUUUUCGUUUAUGGGUGAGCGUAGGCUACCACGGACAGGACAUUUUUGUCACCUUCUUCAUCGUAUUGUAGGCUAAUAAAGGCAUCACAAUGGUAUUCGUGUCCACAAAAUUAUUAGAUAAACUAAACCAAAUUAGUAUUUGAAAUUGGCUUCCAUCCACAAUUAAAGUUUCAUUAAUUUAGUGAAGUAUAGGGUUACACUUUCAUGUUGAUUUUGAAUGAUGUAAAGACCUUACUAAACUAUUCAUUCUUGGAACAUUAGGAUACUCUUUCAUAUGGAAAAAAAUCAGUAUCAAUAUUCUAUUAUCUGGUUAUUAAUCACUUUUCUCAAAUUUAAAACUACUGUUUUAUAGGCCAAAUUAAUACUUUGUUUUAUACCCAUACUACCUAUGACUUCUUUAAUAUUAAACCUAAGAAUAGUACAAUUACUCGAGGUUGCCUCUUAACUCACAAGUAGUUAAGCAACUUUGAAUGCCGACAACUUUUCACCCCUAUGCCUCCUCAAAUUCAACGUGUUUGAGAGCUUUUUUCGAGAUUGAAAUAAUUUGUAAUUAAAUUUUGAUUGUUUGUUUAUUAAUUAUAACAUCAUUUAGUUAUGAAGUCAUUUCACUAAAGUAUCAUGAUUGUACUAUCUCAUAUUAUAUAUUAUUACGAAAGCCACUUAAUAAGUUCUCGUCCAAUGACCUUGUCAUGAAUGUGUUACCCUCACAAUGUAUUCUUAAUCUCUUUUGGUUAAAUUCGUUUUUCCAAUAUAAUCUUAUUUUAUCUCAUGAUAAUCAUUACAUCUUUCUUCAUAAAAAGUCCAUUGUUAUCAAAUAAUAAUUAAAUCAUAUAUCACUAAGACAAAUGACCCGUGGUCACGUUACUAUUCAUCUAUCAUGUAAUGUUGAUAAGAUGAUAUCAUUUAUCAUUUAUUGGGGUAUGAAUUCUACUGUUGUGGAAUGAUGCAACAUCAUGCAGAAGUCGUAUACCCAACGUAUCAACUUUUAGUUCCUUAUCUAUUUGAACUCAAGCUUUCAUUUAUAUCAAAAUAUACGAGUCACACAUAUAUAGUUCAUCAUCCACUCAAGAUUAAUGUGUGUCACACUAUGAAUGCCACAAGUGAAUAAAUCCGUACACAGAUCUAGAAUUUAUUUUACUUAGGUUCUGCCUGAUAUACUGGCUGUCCAGUCAAUCUCAUCUAUAUCUCUAUCUUCUGAGAAUCAUUCACUUCGAUACCUGAGACAAAGUAUCUCACUAAUUAGAUUUGAUAGACAACAUAUUAGUUUUUCAAUCGAUUUGUUCAAUUUUGAUUAGACUAAGGAUGUGUUUAAAUUAUCUAUUAAUAUAAGUUAUCUUAUCGUAUUAUAAUUCGACCAUAUAAUAUCGCUUAGUAUUAAUUAAACGUUAGACAAUCAGUGAACCAAUAUUUGCUUUCAUUUUUCUUUGCGUGCAAAAAUCAUUAAAGACAAUAUAUAAAGAUAUUAAUGAUAUUUGUAAUGGGCCAAAAUUGCCCUGACCCAUCAGAAACCAAAAUAAAAAAUAAAAAAUAAUAACAGUCCAUUAUUUUACAAGGUCCAAAUAAAAUACAGACCCAAACUAAAAAAUCUAGCCCAAAAAAUAGCCCAAAACCUAAAACAAUAAAGAACAAACCUAAUGCGCUAAGGCGCCGCAGCCUCCAUGUGCGCCCUCAGCGCGCACAUCACCUGAGGGUCAGCUCCCUUGGCCCUGCUUGCACCAAAAUGGCCACCUGCUUUAUCCGUUGACUGAGCAAACCUACAGAAAGGAGAAGAUAGAGCAGAAAGAAAAGUAGAAACAGAGUUAAUAUACAGUAACGAAACAGUAGCAAAAAAUUCAAAAAAAUAUUGUAUGGUUCGGCUAUAGAGCCACUACUAACACAAUGUAAUUUUUUUACAGUCGAAUAUCAAUAAAAAAAUAGAAGCAAAAUUCUAAAGGUGAUUUUUUAGCCUUAUUCUUCUAAGAUUUUUUUUAAAUAUAAAAAUAAAUAAAAAAAAGGAAAACUUACCAGAGACGAUUCGUCUCCAUCCAUGAUCGGAGUUUCUCUCCGACAUCGAAAGCCUAGAACCCUUAGGGUUCGGUUUGGGGUUCGACGGUAUGCGGUUCUUCUAAAGAAAUCGAGCUUCUAGGGCCUUUUUUAUUUUUAUUUUAUUUUUUUUGAAAUAGAAGGUGAACCCUUCGAGAAGGUUUGAAAACAGGAUUUUUGGGCUCUUUGGUCGCUGUGUACGGCGGUGUCGUCAUCGGCGACCAACGGCCGUCACGGUGGCCGACGGCCGGCUCUUAUGGCCGGAGGGAGAGAGGGAAGAGAGAAAAGAAAUAGCUUUUUUUUUUAUAGAUUGUGGCUGAAAUGAAUUUUGAAGGUUUUUUUUUUGAAUUUAUACUGCCCCAAUACGACAUCGUUUAGUGCAGGCUCCUAAAGCCCUAAAACGACGUCGUUUUACCCCUCAGGAUCCGCAUGUUGACCCGACCCGCUAAAAGGAUCAGCUCGUUUUGGGGCGAAUGGGCUAUUUUCUACCUUAGUCCUUCCGUAUUUUUAUAUUUUUCAAUCUAGCCCUGCCUAUGUUUUAUGUAUUUAUAAUUUUUCCACAUAAUUUUACUCUCUUUUCAUUUCAGCCCCUUAUGAAAUGGUGCGUUUUGGAGGGCGAGAAUAUUUUCCCAUUUUGUCCCCCCAUGUUAUUCACGCCUUUCAAUGCGAUCCCCCAUUUUAUUUUAUUCCGAUUUAUGCCCUUAAAUUCCAUUUAAGUUUCAAUCUAGCCCCUUUUAUGUUUAUUCAUUUAUUUUAUUGUAAUUUAGACUCUAAAUUUUAUUUAAAUCUCAAUUUAAUCUUUUAUUCACUUAGCUUUAUUUUAUAUAUGCAUCUUGAUCUGUUUUAUUUGAUUUAUUUAUUGUUACAUUCAUUCAUUCAUUUAAUUUUUACUUUUCUUGUACUUAGAAUUUGUAUGAUUCUUUAUUCCUUUAUUUGCACAUUUUAUUAUUAUUAUUAUUAUUUCAUUUGUUUUAUUUUACUUUCAAUUGUUAACUAAACUUUUUAGUUUUAUUUGUUUUCUCUACUUAUUAUCCUUUUUAUUUUAGGUUUGUUUUAUUUUUAUUAUUAUUGUUAUUUCAUUAUUUAUUUAUUUACUUAUGUAUAUAUAUUUUUAUAUAUACUUUCAAAAAAUUUAUAUUAUUAUUAUUAUUAUUAUUUUGUUUUAUUUAAUAUUUUUAUUUUCUUUUUUAUUUUACAAUUAGCUUGCUUUUCAUUUAUUCAUUUUACUUACGGGAUAUGAGUUCUUUCUAAAACCGAGAUAAUCAAAUAUUUUUCAAAAUUAAUAAAUUUUUAGCGUUUAUUCUUAUUUCGAGGAUUUAAGGCAUUGUGUCCUAAUUUAUGGGACGUAAUCAUUUUCCUCGGUUAACGUAAAAUAUACCUCUUUUUGUAAAAAUUCAAUUAAACAAUGUUUAACAAAAUGAUCGUGUUUUUAAAAAUUUUCUCAAAUUUUUAACUUUCGACACUAAAAACACCAAGUAAUCAACUAGGUACUAAUUUUGGGCGUAUCCAGGAUGCUAAUCCUUUCUCGUGUGUAAUCGACUCUCGAACCCGUUUUCUGGAUUUUGUAGACCAAAAAUCAUCGUUUUAAUAAAUAUUAAACUUCUGUUAAAACGAUUGAAUUACCAGGUGAUCCGAUCACACCUAAAUAAAAUAAUUGGUGGCGACUCCCUUUUUCAUUUUCAAAAUCAAGUCGACCCCUUUUUUUUCAAAAAUAGUUUCAACAAUAUUGAUGAAUAUUUUAUUAAAUCAAUUUGUUCAAAAAAAAUUAUAAGUACAUAUAGACGAAACCACUACACUAAGGGCACUAGAUCUCAAUAGUCUCCUACUUGCCUUAGUGAUGUAACACCCCCUAUCCGUAUCAGUCGCUGGAAUAAAGUACGAGGCGUUACCGGAGUUUACAGAACCAUUUUUCAUUAAACGAGUCAUUUUACUAUUCAUAUAUAUAUAGACAUAUUCAUAAAUUUUUAUAGCAUUCUUAACCAUCAUCUUCAUCCCUAUACUUAUACCAUCUCAUCAUUUGUUCAUUUUAAACCCAUAUCAAACAUGAUAAAAUCAUAAUUAUAUGUAACUCAAAACUUACUAAAUACAAGCCAUACCAAUGGCUAGUUACAGUUAGAUCAUUUAUAAGCCAACAUUGACUAAUUAACCUAUACAUGCCAUUAUAACCAUAAUUCAUUUACCAUACAUACCAAAAUAGGCCGAUGGAUAGUGUGAGUGAUCUCCGACGAGCUUUCGAAAACUCACUCAUUUAAAUUUAAUAUAAACAUACAAGGCAUAUUCAAUCAUCUUGAUCACAAGCCCUAACACAUAACCUCAUCACCCUUGUUAGUCGUACACUUCAUAUAAAUACCAAGAAACAUGUAUGGGCUCAAUUCUCAUUAAAUUUCUCAUAUAUAUAGAUAAUUUCACAUUAUGUAAUAAUAUAACAUAUAGCAACCAUAUCUUUGUAUUUUAAAUACAUUUUCAUAACAACUUGUUUUGAUUUCAUACUAUUUUAUAUUUGAGCUUUACUCAUCAAAGUAUUUGAAAUAUCAUUUUUAUGCAAAUAGUACACACGAGGCACAUAAUUCCAUAAUUACGAAUGAACAUAUUUAUCAAACAUAUUCCAUGUUCAUAUAUCAUAGUCUCAGGUCUCCAUAUAUCAAUAAUCAUUAUUUUCUUGUAUUUCAGAUAAAUACUUAUAACCAUACAUAAGUAUGCAAUUCGCUAUUUCUUCCUCUCAAUCACAAUUUCAAAAGACAAAUUCUUGUGAAUACGCUCACCAAUUUCAUAAUUCCAUGUAUUUACCGUUUUCCAUAUUUAUCCCAUAAAAUUCCUUGAAAUUUUGAUGGAUUUCUUGUAGUACACUCAUGGUGUACAAUCUCAUUAACCGUCAAUUCGUACACAUAUAUACAUAAGUCCUUUUCAGAGAGCACACUCUCGCAAACCCUAUUUCUUACAGCAGAAUUAGCAGUCCAGCUAAAUCCCCUGUAAGAGAGCACACUCUCGCGAACCUCAUUUCUUACAGCGGGAUUAUUAGUCCAAGCUAAAUCCCAUGUAAUGACAAAUACUCUAUAGAGCUUUGUCUAGAUUACCAGUCCAAGCUAAAUCCAGACUCACAUUUACUUUGGAUUACCCGUCCGGGAUAAAUCCAUUUCGCACAUAUUUUUUGGGAGGGCUUAUAUUAGGAUCACCCGUCCGGGCUAGAUCUUUUUCACACAUAUUCUUUAGGAAGGCUUAUAUCAGGAUCACUCGUUCGAGCUAGAUCCUUUUUACUGUCAAAUCCUUUUCAGUAAUCCAUCGAAUUCCAUUCCAUUCAACCGAGAUUUAUUUCCCUUUUUAUUGAAUAUUAUUAGCAUUUCAUCAAUAAUCAUAUAUUGAGCAUUCAAAUCACAUUUUCAUCACAUAAACAUACAUUUCAAACAUUUAAGAAUACAAUUCAAGUUACACAAACUUACAAUUUGAUUUUUAUACCAUAACGAUAAUUUUAAUUUCAUAAUAAAUAUUUGAAAUAAAACAUUAUAUCAUUUCUAAUUCAACGUUUAUCUAUUAUUAUCGGGCAUGUGAUCAAUUUAUGUACAAGUCAUUCAUAUAUUUUCCUCCUCCUCCUCUCCAUUCCACAUCCUUAAUGUAUAUAUCACGCUUAUAAGUAACAUUAUCUACAAUUUCACUAUUUACUUAUAUGUAUAUUAAAAGCUGUCUGUCCAUGUCAUAGUCACUAAAUUAUUUUCAUCUUGAGCUACAGAACUCCAAAUUAAGAUCCACUUGAUGUUUUUGAAACUGGAUUCAUAUAUCCUUCUACCACAAAAAUUUCAGAAUUUAUAGUUUAGCCAAUUAGUAUAGCAAAAUCUUCAAAUUUAUCCAUGUUCUGUUGUUUGACAACAUUGACCUUUGUUUACUAAAAAUUAAUUAUCUCUUAACACAGAAUUUGGAUGAUAUUCUCGUUUAUUUCUAUUGAAAAUAGACUCAUUAAAAAUAUAAACAUAUAAAUUUAAUCCCCUAAUUAUUUCUCUCCAAUUUUUGAUGAUUUUCCAAAGUCAGAACAGGAAAACCCAAAAUCAUUCUGACAUUGUCUCACAAAAUUUAUUAUAUCUCAUGAUUUACAAUUCUAUUUACUUACACAGUUUCUUCUAUGAGAAACUAGACUCAAUAAGCUUUAAUUUCAUAUUUUAUUCAUCCUCUAAUUUAAUUCUCACAAUUUUUGGUGAUUUUUCAAAGUUAGACUACUACUGCUGUCUAGAACUGUUUUAGUGCAAAAUGUUGAUUACUAUUUUUCCCCUAAACUUUUAAUACAUGACGAUUUCGUCCCUAGGCUUGGAAAAUGAAAUUCUUGCAAUUUAAUACUUAUUCCAAGCCUAAUUAUUCUCAUACAUACCAAUCACAGCCCAUGAAUUUCAUGAAAUUUCAGAAUUUUUCAUAAAUUCAACACUUUUCAAUUUAACCCCUAAAACAUAUUUUCAUCCAAAAUUCUUUAAUAAAACACCUUUAAACAUCCAUUAACAUCUCAAUUUCAUCAUAAAAUAACAAAAAUCAUAUGAAAUUAUCAAUGGUAACUUCUAAAAGUUUCAAAAAAAUCAAAAACUAAUAGAAUACUAAGUUGGACCUAAUUGUAAAAGUCCAAGAAUAUAAAAAUUUCAAGGAAAAAGCAAGAAUUGAACUUGCUUGAAGCUAAAAUAUGAAAGACCAGCUCAAAAACCUCUUCCAUGGCUGUUUUUGGCAGAAAGUUGAAGAAGAAAUGGUCUAGAAAUCAUUAAAAUCAACUUUGGCCAUGUAACUUUUGUUAAAAUUCCAAUUUUGUCCUUUUCACAUAAAAAUCUUUGAUUUUUUUCAUGCUAUGCCGCCUCAGCCAUUUUAAAAUGGUCCAUUUUCGCUUUUAGUCCUUCCUUAUUUAAUGUUUAAGCUAUUUAAUCACUUUAGCAAGUUUUACACCUUUUCAAUUUAGUCCUUUUUAUCUAAUUCACAACCGAAACGUUAAAAUUUUUUGACAAAAUUUUAAUACUACCUUAUUAACACUCCGUAAAUAUUCAUAAAAAUAUUUAUGGCUUGGUUUAUAACACCGGGAUCUCAAUACCUCUUUUUCUCAAUUUCUUAACUAAAUAAAUCUUUGUAAAACACAGUUUACUAUUUCAAAAAUAUUUUAAAAGCCACAUUUGGCUCGUAAAUAUUAAAUAAUAUAAAUUACGAGUUCAUUUGCUUGAUUUGGUGGUCUCGAACCACUAUUUCCUACAUCACUGAAAUUUGUGCUAUUACAAGUGAAGUCAAUGAGUCGUAUUUCUCAUUUUCAUACCCUCUAUAUGUUUCUCAAAAUUACUGCCUUCCUAUCCCAAGGUUGUCCUCUAAUGCGACUUUAACUAUAUCCAUGAUAUCCCAUAAGUUACUACCUCCCUUAUGAUAUGAUAUUUUCUAUUAACGUAUUUUAUCCUCUUAUGGUUUCUAGUUUCUUUAGUGUUAGCUAUUGUUGCACUAUAAUCAUUAAGGGUGAACAAAACUCAAUUUAAUUCAAAAAAAUUAAAAAAAUUAAAUUUUGAAUUAACUGAAUCGAGUUAUUUGAUUUUUUCGAGUCAACUCGAAUAAGUAAUUCAAAUUUCAAGUUCGAGUCAAAUUGAAUUUUAUAGUUUGAAUAAUUCGAAUAACAGAUUGGUGUAAAUACUCCUUUCUUCCUUAUCAAUUUUAAAAAUGAAUAAAUUGGUCUCUCUCAACAAAAAUUACAAAAAAAAUCAAAAUAUUUUUCAAAAGUUUAAAAUAUUUAUAAAAAUUUCAAAAUUUUAAAAAAAAAUUUAAAAAUUCUAAAGAAUAUAUAAAAAAGUUAAAAUUUUAAAAUUUUUCUAAAAUAAUAAUUUUUGUAAGCUAAAUAAGUUAAUUAAUGAUUCAAUUUUAUUAUACUAAAGUAUAUUUUCUUCUUCUUAUUUUGCUUUGAAAAGAAUUUCAAAUAUAUAUGGUUUCAAAUUUAUGUGCUUUAACAUGGACUUAGUUAUAUUGCAGCAAGAUUUUAAUUUGACAUAUUUAAUUUUUUAAUUUAACUCGAUUUGAAAUUUUUUGAAUCAAAUUAGAAUGAUAAAAUAGGACUCGCCAACUCGAUUAACUCGAAAUUCUUUCACUUGAUUCAACUCGAUUCAAUCGAAUGUUCACCCCUAAUUUUCAUAAUACAAUGUGAUAGUUUUUUUCAUAUUAGGAACGACUUUUAAGAUCCGUAAGGAACUCCUGAAGCUAUAUAUCUCUUCUUUUGUUGCCUCAGAAGUUGUCACAUAUUCGAUCUCCAUAGUAGAGUCAACAAUGCAGCUCUACUUGACACUUCUCCACACUAUGGACUCAUUGCCUAGGACAAAGACACAGUUCAAUGUUAAUUUUCUCGAAUUCCAACAUAUUUGAAAGUCAAAAUCUAUAUAACUAAUAAGAGUAAGAUUUCCCAUGGAGUAUCAAGCUUAUAAUCCAUCGUUCUACAUAAAUACUUGAGUAUAUAGUUAAAUAGUUGGAAGUGUGUAGGAUUGGGAUUCGUUUGAUAUCGACUCACCAAUACUAUUACGAAACAGAUAUUUGAACGCGUGCACAACAUAGUAUACAUGAGACAUCCUACUGUCGAAGCAUAAGGAACAUUUCUCAUAUAUUCUCUUUUUUUCAUUAUUUUAAGACAAUGCUCUAAAAAAAUACGAAAGCCCGGUACAGAAGUUGUGUUACCUUCUUUGAUUUGGUCAUUGUAAAACGAUCCAAUAUUUUAUCUAUGUUUAAAUUUGUAAUAAAAUUAUCACUUUAUUUUUUUUGAUCCUUUAAAAUUCUAAUACCUAAAACAUAAUUAAUUUCUUUCAAAUUUUUCCUAAACUGAUGUGUUAACUACAGUUUAAUGGAAAACAAUAUCCCUACAUUAUUCCCAAUCGACAUAUAAAACGAAAAAAUAGUCUUUCCUUUCUUAUUAUAAAUACAAAAUUCAUCUCAAAUCCAAAUGCUUUUAUCCAAAAAAAGCUUUCAUUACCGUUUCAUCUUUUACUUCUCAAAGUGAACUAACCGAAAUAGCAAGUUUGAUACCAUAAAAGCAGUGAAACUAUAUAUAUAUAUGUCAAUUGUCACAUCAACCAUCUUUCCUCACAUUCAAGGUUUUGUCCGCAUGCACAGCUACCCCCAUCAACCAAAAUUUCACCGUAUAUAUGGUGGGCCUUCAAUCUCCUUAUUUAUACCAAGUGUAUUGCCACACUCUUCCAUGCACAAACCAGUUUUCAUAACCUUCUUCAAUAUUUGGUCCCAAUAUGCAUUUAAUCAUUUAGUCGUUUUGUUUCUCUACUGAUUGUCUGUUCUUCUUUGCCUUCUCUUUUCUGUCUCCCGUUUAUGGCUCCGAUUUUCUCUCUGUUUCUUUCUUUCGUCAUGCUUUCAUGGAGCAUUGCUCAGGGACAGGGUCCACCUUCCCCAGGAUACUCCCCCUCCACCAGUGUUCGUACUUUGAAAUUUGAUCAAGUUUUUAGAAAUCUAUGGGGUCCUCAGCAUCAGAGAGCCGAUCAGGAUUCAAUAACUAUCUGGCUUGAUAAAACCUCAGGUUCUUUCCCAUUGUUUUUUCUUUUCCAUGAUGUUUCUUCUCAUAGACCUUCCUUGAGAUGAUCACUUUGCUUUCAUGGUGAAAACAGGAAGUGGUUUCAAGUCAAUUCAGCCAUACCAAUCUGGUUACUUUGGUGCUGCCAUGAAACUCCAACCUGGUUAUACAGCAGGAGUCAUUACAUCUUUCUACGUAAGAUUAAUUUUUAGUUUACAUACACAAAGUUAAAAAUAAAAAUACCACUGAAUUUGACGCAAAUUCUGACAGCUUUCAAACAACGAAGAUCACCCUGGAAACCAUGAUGAAAUUGAUAUUGAGUUCCUUGGAACAACACCAGAUGAGCUCUACACUUUGCAGACUAAUGUGUAUAUUAAAGGAAGUGGCGAUGGAAAUCUAAUUGGAAGGGAAAUGAAAUUUCAUCUAUGGUUUGAUCCUACGCAAGACUUCCAUAACUAUGCUGCACUGUGGACCCCUAGUGAGAUUAUGUAAGUAAUAUUUAAAUCGUUAACUUCAGCUUUCUUCGCUUUAAUCAUGCUUGACUACAUCCUUUUCAUGCAUGCAUACUUUACUUUCCAUGCUUUGGGGUCGAAUAAUUCAACUAAUUAUUCCGUUUCUGGUUUUUUCUUACUGAUAAUAACGGUUUAUAUAUAUAUAUAUAUUUAUGUUGUAAAUAUAAGAGUUUACAAUCAAUUCGUUACUCAUUUUCUUUCUCAAUUAUUAAAAAGAAAAAAAUUAUAGUGGUGUGGUCGUGGGUCAAAUCAUGUUAAUUGUGAGAAGACAUAAAAAUUAAAAUACAUAAUAAAUAAAUUUUAAAGGUUAUAUUAAUAACUAUUUUUUUUUAUAAAAAGUAUUCUUUUAAUCAUUACCCCCAUUCUUUCUAUUUUACUCUUUUAGAAUGUAAUUUAUAAGUUAUUGGGAAUUUUUUAUUUUAUUUAAUUGAAAAUGAAAAUAUUUAAUAUUUUAAAUAUGUUUCAUAUUCAUUUUAAUUUUUUUACUAUAAAAAUUUUAACGAAAAAAUAUUGGAUAAAAUAUAUAGGUAGGUAGCUACUUAUAACGUAAAGUAACGAGUAUUACGUUAAAUUUUAUUUUAUUAAAAUAUUAAAAUAAAUUGUUUUUAAAAAAAUGAGGUAUUCAAAUUAACAUAUUUAUUUUUAUCUAAAAUUAUAUAAAAUAUUAAUAAUUAAUUAAUCUUUUAAAAUUAAUAUUUAUUUUUAUCAAACAACUUAAUUAUAUUCUGUACUUAUAUGUACUAAUUUAUCAAACAACUUUCUAAUAUCAAUUCAACACUUAUAAAAUUUAGUGGCAAUUAUAGUGAGAACUUUUAAAAUGAGAACCAAAAUAAUCCUAGACAUUAGAUCAAAAUAAAUGGCUUUAAGCUUUAGAUUUUAUAUUUACCUUACCUUAUUAAAAUAAAACUAAUACACUCUAUAUUUUUCUUCUAUUUUUCUUUGCAAUAAUUGAAGUCUUAGGGUGAAAAAAA
This 70747-nucleotide long non-coding RNA is filed under the name Gossypium barbadense (sea-island cotton). Its description in RNAcentral is "long non-coding RNA (GBAR_LNC007741)". The stretch from base 57485 to 57627 matches the Rfam family "MIR7502 microRNA precursor family". The record is from RNAcentral. Lineage: Eukaryota; Viridiplantae; Streptophyta; Magnoliopsida; Malvales; Malvaceae.